This 66642-nucleotide long non-coding RNA is filed under the name Malus domestica (apple). The record is from RNAcentral. Lineage: Eukaryota; Viridiplantae; Streptophyta; Magnoliopsida; Rosales; Rosaceae.
UCAGUUCCCAAAAUCUCUAGCCAACUGCAGAAUGUUAGAGGUGUUAAACCUGGGAAACAAUCAGAUAACAGAUGUCUUUCCAUGCUUAUUGAAGAACAUAUCCAGCUUGCGUGUACUUGUCUUGCGUUUCAACAAAUUUUAUGAUAGCAUUGAAUGCCUUAAGACUAAAAGUGCCUGGCCAAAGCUUCAAAUUGUUGACAUAGCUCGCAACAAUUUUACUGGCGAAAUACCAGGAAGUUUUUUGAAAACGUGGCAAGCAAUGAUGGCUGACAAAGAUGGUGCCGUGUCAAAGCAAUUUCAAGUUGUAGACCUCGGCCAGGUGUACUAUCAGGAUACUGUAACAGUUACCACCAAAGGUCUAGAGAUGGAAUUUAUAAAGAUCUUAACAGUCCUCACCUUAAUUGACAUGUCCUGCAACAAUUUUAAUGGAUCAAUACCUGAGGAAGUGGGAAAGCUCAAAUCACUUUAUGGCCUAAACUUGUCCAGUAAUGCUCUCACAUGCGCAAUCCCAUCAUCACUAGGUAAUCUACGACAGCUUGAGUCCUUAGACCUUUCGGACAACAAAUUGAGCGGAACAAUUCCAUCAGAAUUUUCCAAACUUAAUUUCCUCUCAUUCCUAAAUCUGUCGAGUAAUCAACUUGUCGGGAAGAUUCCAACCGGCACUCAGAUUCAGUCUUUUUCACCAGAUUCUUUCACAUGCAAUAAAGGAUUAUAUGGGCCACCGUUAGAUGACGGAUCACCAAGGUUGCCACCAACAUUAGAAGGCAAACAUUCUAAUUCUGCGCACAGAAUUGAUUGGGAUCUUAUCAGUGUUGAAGUUGGAUUUAUUGUUGGCUUUGGAGUUGCGGUCGGGUCACUUGUGUUGUGCAAGAGAUGGAGUAAAUGGUAUUACAAAACAAUGUAUAAAAUCCUUGUUAAGAUAUUCCCUCAGCUUGAAGAGAGAAUUGGUCCUCACUGAAGACAUGUCCACAUAAAUCAGAGGUUCAGACGCUGAAGUUAAUGGUCAUGGGGACCAAUGCAGCUGGACCUCAAGCUAUGCCUGGGGAAUUUGAGAUCCAACAAAUAAGAGGUUUUCUUUUUGGUUUUACCUUUUAAAUUUGUGUAUGUUAUAGUUAUAUGUGUAAUAGUUUAUUGUGUAUCUUUAUCCUUUGUUUUCAAUAAACUUCCUCGUACCGUCGAGGUUCUUGAAGUUAGCGUAAUUUGAUAUACCCAAAAGAAUGUACUACAUGUAAUGUAUUAUUUGUUCGAAUUGUGUAGUACGAUGUCGAGACCAACUCCACCCAAAAGAGUGUACUACAAAGAACAUCUUGACUUCUGAAUUGCGAUAUGUUUUAACAUCUUGCCAUUCAAUUUUAAACUCAUCAUAUCUAGUACUACAACACCUAAUGAUUUAUUUUUCACCUCAAUUUAUAAGAGAGCAAACCAGCGCUUUUUGUUUCAGAAUUUCCUCACCAACUUUUAUGUCUGAGAUCGCACCAAAAGGCAAAAGCCAACCCUCUCAGGUAACAAGAAGAAAUGAAAAACUCAACCGCUUUUACAAAAUCAGCAAACUACGGUUCAAUCAGUAUUCUCCCUUUCAUGUCAGAGUACAAUGAAAUACUCAUUUGCUUUUACAAGAGUUGAGUCACUCGCCCAAUUUCAACUGGUUUUAGGAUGAACCUCAACUUCAAUUAUGGGACAAAAACUUCUAUCGUUUAAGACUUUAAGUUGACAAAUGCGAAGUAUUGAUCACGAUGAUUAGGUCUUCCAUAUUAACACUUAACUACUAAAAGAGAGGAUAAACACUCAAUAGGAUUUGAAUUGGGUGUGUUCAGUUACCCCGAUAAAUCCUCCGUAGAGCAGACUACGACAGUCACAAACCCACGAUACCAUAGUUACAUAUAAUACAUGAGUUUUUCGGAGAAUAUAUUUCUCUUGCUACCCAGAAAAUCAACAUGAGCAUACACAAACCAUUCUGUUUUUCUUCCACCUAUAACCGUAUGUGUAUAUGAUCGACUAUAUAUCGCCUUAGUCAGUCAAAAACUAAAAUAGGAGUAACGUGUAGAUUGCAGAUAUGCCUAUACAACUUCAAAGUGAAUUAGAGUCAAUCAAAUCAUAAACCUGAGUAAAAUUUCUGGUUUGGAAUCUCUGACGUGCAGGGAAUAAGCAAAAUGCACGCAACAAAGCCUCCAUUGUUAAACCUGAAAUAACAACAGUAUAUCAAGUUUAAUUUUCUUUUCAUUGGAAUCCUGAGUAAACAUAAUUCUUUCAAAAAGAUCAGACGCAAAUGCUUAUAUCCUACAGAUUUGUAAUUUCAUAUUGUGAACUAGCACCGCAACAAAAUAUUUACAUGUAUAUUGCAUAGUAUUUCUAAAUGCUUACAAAUUGGUAGGAUUAGCUAUUAUAUUGCAGUGUAAACCUCCUUCUGAAUGAAUGAAGCCGAGUGGUAUCUCCCACAAAUGUGAAGAACUUGUUGGAAUCAAUGCUUUUCUCUGAAACUUUAGCCCUUACCAAAGACAAAAUCUUCGAUUAAUGACUCAAGUCCACUAAAACAAGUCUAGAAUUUCCAAGCUUAUUCCUAAAUUCUAUAGCUUUAUCAACAAUAAUAUCAGAUGCCUUUGCAAGGUCAAAUUGAAAAUCUGCUGUUGAAAUGAAAGGAAAUGCUAGAGUGGAAACAUCGUUUAGAGAACCAUCACCGCUAACAGAGCCUACAGCUAGCUCUUCACCUUCCUUUGACUCCUUACCAGAUUUUUCAGAAAGUGAACCUGUUCCUUUCAAAGAGGUUUCCUUUUCUUCAGUAAUUUGAGAAGCAUUAGAAUCCUGUACACUCUUCGAAGUUGAUUCAGUAUUAGCAGGACCAUCGGUUUUCCUUAAGAACAUUAUACCUAGUUGAAUUUUUGCACCGGGGUUCUUCUGACCGAAAUAACCAUUGGGAAGUGUAUCUAACGGACCAAGUCCACGAAUGCAUCAACAGAAGAUUGAACAUCACUCUCACUCUGGCAAUAAGUAAUUCUAGCAAACCCUUCACUCAGCUAAGGCAAUUCUUUCUUCUGCAGCAUUCUAUUCACAAUCGCCGCAGCUUUCCCGCCUUGCACAUUUCCUUCAUGGCCCGUUCGCUUCACAUACCGCAAUAUACAAAGCUUGGCAGGAAGAUCAAGCACCACAACAUGAACAAACUUGGGAACUACCACCAAGCUUCACAAAAUCAUCCCUUUGUUCUUCCUCUACAUUACACCUAUCUAUAAACACACUCUUCUCAUCCUUCAACGCAUUCAUUGCACUCUCUAUACACUGCCCUUUCGUUCGGGCUUUACCAUUUUUGAUAGUAUCCUACAAAAACAAAAAAUAUGAACAUAUAACAGCAUAAAACAAGAACCCAAAUGAAUAGAAAUCCGGAGUACCAUACUACGUACUGAAAAUAGCAAUCUAGAGCCCACUGCGACAUUUCAUCGAACACACUGUGUCCACAGAGAUAUACCUGGCAAACGCAAACACAAGGGCGAGUGGAGCGCAUGACAUGUUCGCAGAAGGUAGACAUGUUCGCAGAAGGUGAUGCGUAAAAUAACUAAACACACAAAAUUAAACCCUCUUUUUAUCAAUUGUAGUAAAGUAUGUAAGUAGGGAUCGUUCUAGGCCGGGGAUUAGGAGGGAUUGCUAAAUCACUUGGAAACUGACUUGAAAACGUAAAAACAAAGUUUAAAACACUAACUAGACUCAAAGAAUGCAAAACUAUACUUUAAAACACUAAAACAAACCAAAAGACUCAAAACAGCCCCUAAACACUCAAAACUACCUUAAACACACAAUCUGGGCAGUUUUGGGACUCUAACACAAACUUGGACGAAUUUUGGUUUUCUAAUGAACUAAACACUUAAAAACAUAAUCUAAGACAAGUUCUAUUUUAAUAUGACUCAAAGAAAUAAGAUGGGGUUGAUUUUGGACAAAAAUAAUUAAAUUAAGACAAGAACAAAGUAAACGAAUUCUUAGACAAAUUUAAGUGAAUCAAAACAAAUUGUAAAAUGAAUUUGAAUGAAACUUAUGGAUGGAAGGCUAGCUAGGAGGUUCUUCUCCACACAUGUCACACUUGCAUACAAAACGAUUUCCAGUUGCUUUUCGAUAAGCUAUGAAUACUCAACGCCCCAAAUUAACCGUGAAUUGCACUAAUUAACCCUCAGUUUUUCCACAAGUUAUUAGGUUGGAUGAUCGCAUACGACAACCCAAAACAUUCCCUACAAGUUCCCUACAUGAAUUGCAUAAUAGAGAUACAAGCAAGAAUCAUUAAGUUCUAUGAAAAACAUAAGCAUUGACGAGGCACUCGUUACUAUGAUUUGCAUGAAACUUAUGCCAAGAAUUUACUUAACGUGAUUGUGACUAGCAACCUUCACUACUUGUGAAUAUAAGUUCAUAACGAUUAGGUGAAACUCCCUUAUAUUCUAGCGUCAAAUUCAUGCAUGAAAAUUAAGCGUGCACUCUCAACCAACAUACACAAAUCAGUUUUUAUACGAACGGAUAAGUAAAUUGAAUUCACAACUUAUGAAUCACAACUGGAUGUAAUCAAAUCAUAUUGCAAGUAUGAACAUAGUUUCGAAUCACCCCUAACUAAGAGGGGUUUAGUUCCUCAUACUCACAAAACAAAGAUACAUAAAAUUAGACAUUAAAAUCAAAGGAAAGAAAACACCUAAAAUGCUCCAACUUGGUAGCAAGUGCAUCCAAGAUUCCUCCUUUCCCUAUGCUUGCGGCAGAUUGGGUUAUGGACAGAUUUUGGGUAGUUUUAUGAUGUAGAAUGGAUGGGGAAUGGUAUGGAAGGGUUUAGGGUGAGUGUGGAGGAGUGUUUGAGGGUUGGAGGGUGGUGGAGAACUAGGCAAAGAGGGUGGAAGAAGGUGGAGUGGCUGUUAUGUUUUCUAGGCACUAGAAUGGUGUUUUUUGGGGUGUUUUGCUUCCUAGGGUGUGUAUGGACGAAUUUUUGUGAUAAAAUGAUGAAUAUGGGGGAUUGUUCUUUGGCCAAGGGGUGUAAACAUGUAUUUAUAGGCCCCCAAAAACCUUAGAAAAUCAGGUUAGGUUAAGGAUGAAAUGCAUGGCAAUUUGUGUGUGUGGUGUGCAAUGGUCCAAGGGUGAAAAUGAAGUAAUGAUGCAAAGUGUGAAGGGUAAAAUGGAGUGGUGUUGUAGCUAGGGAGCAUGAAUGAUUGUGUACAUUGCAUAGAGAUGGAAAGGGAGGUGAAAUGUGUCAACAAAUGGGUCAAAGGUGCAACAACAUGUGUUACACAUGGCAUUGGAUUCCAAAUGUGAAUGAUGGAGCAUCAAUUGGUGCAUGUAAUGGAUGUAAAUGUUGUCUAAAAUCUAAUGAGUGAAGGGAACAAGAGGUAUCAAGCAAUUGAGUGUAAUAAUUAAAUAAAUUGAAGCAUGAAAUUAGAAAUUAUGUAGGGGACAAGAGUGAUUAAGCAUGGCAUGGAAUCCAAAGGGAAUUCUAUGUGGUUUGCAUGGCAAGGAAUGCAAGUUGGGGUGACAGAUUUUUGGGCUGUUUUCUUCAUCUUUUGGACCAUAAUUCUUCAUAUUCUUGGCCUCUUUAGUUCUCAAAUUCGUCCAUCCACUUGGCCCAUGCAUUUGACAUCCAUUCCAAGCCCCAUUUUGCUCCAAAAUGCAUCUUCUUGCCUACUUUGUCCAUAAAAUCUGAAAACACACGAAAAUGACUUUAAACAUUAAAAUAACUAAGGAAACACGACAUAAAUGCACAAUAACAAGCCAACUAAGUCGCAUAAAUAUGCUCCUAUCAGAAGGUAGACAUGCCGCUUCCAGGCCCACCUACCAAUAUUACUACGACAGGCUUUCCUUGUUUUUCUUCCCCCGUCAAAAACGCAUACAGGUUUUAUGAUCACCGAAGGCGGCGACGACCGAGAAUGGUAAAACGCGGCGUUUUGGAGAAAGGGCAUACCUUUGACUGUUUCGUCGAUGUCCAUGUCCAUGUUUUGGAAGACUCUGCGAGGCACUUUUGAAUUAACAGCGGAAAAGCAACGGUUUCUUCUUCCACUGGGCUGGAAGCCUGAAGCUUCUAUUGCCGGUGCCUGGUGCUUGCGUAAUGGGACACAUGUCACACAUCGUCGACCCGAAAAUUGACAAGAUCCGAUUCGAUUUGGAUUUUAUCCGUAUUUUAGCCUUCUCGCAAGUGCUAAUGCGUAAAUGAGAAGUAUUUUAUAAUCACGGGCCUUACGAGCGCCCUUUAAAGAUGGGUUUGCUUUAAUUAUUGUUCUAAUUGUUUAACAUUGUUAUUUCGUAAGAAAUUUGCGAGGGCAUUUUCUUAUGAUAUUAGGUAUUUCAAUCAUCUUCCUGUGAUAAUUUUUUCUAUAAUUAUGUUAAAGCCCUCCGUAUUCCGGUAACCUACAACAUGGUAAAUCUAUAGAAAUUAUAAACUUGAUAAUUACGUUUAUAGCACAAAAGCCUAUACAUACAAUCGUGUUUACUUGGUGUACAAGUAAGGAUCUCUUCAAUUUCUUGAUAGCGAUUUUACCACUUGUAAAACAAAGGGUUAAACCAUAGAAAAUUCUUGCAAGAGAACAAGUGUUUGUAGUAUAGAAUGGCUCAAGCAAUGUCGAUCUCCUCAGGGACUGAUAUAAACAAUUUACGAGUUUUUGUGUAUUUAACUUAUUUAACUUUAAGAAUUACACUAAUUUGACGAAACUAAAUAUUACUGGAUGUGACUUAACCAAAUAUCUAACAUGGGAAUUGGUUUAUAGGAACAGUGAUUCAACUUAAACAAAACAAGUAAAUGAGGAAAUUUAAGAUAAAAUAACUGAUUGAAGAAAAAUAGAUUGACAAUAUGCUAGAGUUCAACCUUUACCAACAACACUCCUACGUAGCUAUUCCAAUUGCUUAAAUAAUUGAAAACACACAUGCUUUGAAGGUUGGAAUUUCCUUGUGUAUGUUUUACUUGUGACAUUCAAGUUAAAACGCAUACCACUACAUGCAACUUAUCCAUGACAUUUGGAUUAAAUAUAAACAUGAGUGAUUCAUUAAUCUUGGUGAAAAUCCUUUUGUUAAACCAUGUAAUCCCUAAGAGCAUGAUAUUUACCUUAGGAGAGUACAAUCCUCAAUCACAAGAAGCACAACCAAUUUUAACAUGACAUUCGUUCAAAAUUGCAUCCGAUAACUUUUUAAGCAUCCUAAUGGUGAUCAAGCAUCAAGGUACAUAGAUAGUUUAAUUCAGUGAUUGAAAAUAUCAAAGCAAGCAUGUAACAACACUUAAGCAAUUGAAAAAUAAAUCUACGUAUUCAUGUUGCGGCUCAUGGCCUCACUCUAACAAAAUAAAUUAGUUACACAUAAUUAUUUGAUACAUAAAAAAUUAUCCAUAAAACAAAAUAACAAAAAAAGAAAACAUCCGUUUUAACAAGACGAGCUCUCUGUUGCUCCUGACUUCCUCUGCUCUGCUGCGCCUCUUCUUCUUUGCUUCUGCUACACCUCUGCUUCUGUGCUCUGCUGCGCCUCUUUCUUUUCCUCCCGUCAGUCUCCCCCCUUUUUACUUUUUCUUUUCUUUUCUUUUCCUCUGGUUCCGUCUGCCCUCUGCUGCGCGUCCUUUCUCUUAUAUUUUUUUCUUCGUCCGUGCUCUGCCUUCCUUUCUCUCUGCCUAUUCUUUUCUUUUGUUUUUCUUCUGCCAGUCCCGCACUCCUCUCUGUCUAUUCUGUCAGUGUCUCCCCUCACUUUUAUUAUCUUGCUUUCCUUUUCUUAUUCCUUCCAUUUUUCUUUGUCUGUGUCCCCCAUUUCCACUAAUCAGCUAUAUGCUUUUCUUUUUCUCCACCACAAAAGCUUAAUGGAAGACAAGUCCACUCUCCACUUGCCGUGUCUUUUAUUUGUUUUUACAAUUUCCUUUUCUCCAUUUUGCUUGAAAUUGAUCUUAAAACAAAUUUAACUACACAUUAACACAAGGUAAAAUAAAAAUGCCACAAUUUUAACACAAAGACUUUAUAAAUAGAUGGUAUAAAUGCAUGAAAUAUAUGAGUGAUCAAAUACCCCCAAACUUGCAUUUUUGCUAGUCCUCUAGUAAAACAAAACACAAAACAAAAACACUCAACUAAAACUAGACUCAACAACUUAGUAGCCAACUUCUAAAUUUCGAUUUCAGAGAUAAGUGCUAAUCAUGAAACAAACAACCAAGAACUAAUCAAGAGUUCAAAACAUCAUCCAAUAAUUAACCAAAUUUCCUUCAAACAAAACGUUGAAAUGCCAUGUGUGAGCUAACCAUGUCAAUGCAAUUCCAAACUCCUUUAAAUCAUCAUAUGCAAACAUGUGAGCUUCUCACAAGACAUACGCUCAUUCACUCAUAAGUUUUGGUUAAUGUGUUUCACUCAAGUGAUCUCAUUGUACAUGCCGCCAUAUGCUUGCUUGUCCACCUAACUCGCUUAUCAAUAUUUAAGUAAUACCUUGGAUAAAUAGGACUUUAUUACGGUUGUAAUGGGGCUAAAGGUGAUAGGCUAAUGAAAGAAAGGAUAUGGAAAUCAAAAAUUUUGAGAAAGUACACUUUGAUAGUUUUCCAACACCUCAAUAUCACACCACCUCAAAUUGAAAGCAAAAUAAUAAAACCUCAAGCACCAGUUACUCCCCAAAUUCAACUUCAAAAAGAAAUUUAUACUCUGCAGACACAUUUUCAACAAAUCAACACUCUCCAAUUUUCAUAUAUUUCGUUUUUUUUUUUUCAAUUGAAAGAAACAAAUCUGCAAAAGCUACAUCACCCAUCAAAUUCACAUUUCAUUGUAAUACACAUGCUCCAUCCAUCUUUCUACAUAAAUGAAACCCCCAAAAGCACAACCCAUGUAAUACUUUAUCAAAACAAUAAGGAAUCGAUUUUUGUGUAUGGGCUCAACUCCAAUAUUGGAGCAAGGUAAAGAGAUGUGGCUAACAAAGAAAUGGCUUAGUUAAAGGCUCAAUGGGCUACUACGGAUAAACAUAGCAUAUAAGGUAGGCAUGAAAGGCUCAAACGAUCCAAAGAUGACCUAUAUCACUUCCAAGUUAUUACAUGAAUUGAUUAAUGAAUCGAGUAGUAUAAAGCAAGUUCUAGAGAUACAUGUACAGUGAGAUCAUACGCACAAGAAGGAAUGAGAUUGAUGCAUAAUGGUUCAAUCAUGUAUAGGCUCAAAAACUCACAAGGUUUACAUAAUCUCACAUGAUUCACAUAUGAAACGCUAAAUCAUGCUCAAGUUUCACAUUGACAAGACUAGGCACAUUUAUUUUUCAAGUUGAUUUCUGGAAAUCACAGUUAACACAAAGACAACGAAAAGAACUUAGACUUCUUGAAAGUAAGAAGGAAAUUAAAAUCAAAUCUCAUCAUUGAAUUGAGAAGUAGCUACAAACAACAAUAAAAAUGCAAAAACUUUUUUUUUUAAUUAUUAUUAUUAUUUUUUAAUUUAAUAAUUUUUUUUUAUUUUUUAUUUUUUAACAAGAAGUAAACUAACGAAAUAUAUUUCCACCCAUAAACUUAAUUAUAGCAUUGUCCCCAAUGAUAAUGAAAGGAAUUUUGAACAAUAAGACAUAAAAAUGGAAGGAAAGAAAUAUAAAAUGAAAUAAAGACACAUAAAGAAAAGGAAAGAACACACCAAUUUGUGUAGGCGAGGAGAACAAAUGUGUGAGUAACCCGUGGGAUUAAGAAACUUUGCAGAAGUUGUGGUAGAGAGUUCCUUGGUUUCAAAUCAGACUCCUUUUGCUGGGUUGAUUUGAUUGUGCAGUCUGCAUUCUUCUCUGCUUGUUUCUUCUGCACCACGGGCAGGCACAAGGUAGCUGUGUUGGUCUGUUUCUUUCUUCAAUCUUUCCAAGUGCCCACCUCUUGCUUUCUUUCUCCUUGUCUCUAGCUGAGGAUGAAUUGGUAAAUUGUCUCCACAUGCUUCGAGGUAUCAUUUUCACUUCCCUUAUCUGUUCCCCAGGCAGAUGUGGUAGACGAAGAGGAAGCAUAAGAUGAUGAAGAUGAGUACUCGAGAGCAAGGCUAGGUAAGCAAUCAGGAAGGGGUUCCAGGCAGUUGGCUCCAGAUCGGAAGAUUGAUACCAAGUGCUGGCUGAUUGCUCUCUUUCUCCUUGUCGUAAAACAAAGACAAGGAGAAUGACAGGGAGAAAGCAUGAUAUGAGAUACUAUUGCUUUCAACCUUCAUGAUAUGAAAUACUUUUUCUUUGGAUGGGUUGUAUGCAGAGGUACCCCAAGGAAUAAGGAACACUGAGUGACUCGAGAGGGUUUGUUGGAAAGGCAUUCUCUGAGAAGAAAAAGGUUAUGUAUGUUUGCCUUGCCAUGGAGGAUGAAUGUCGACAUUUAUAGGAAAUAAUAACCGGUACUGUUCUUUCACUCUUGUCUGCCUUUCCGCUUAAUGAUAUUCAACAACUGAAAAAUCUCGAAAGACUUGAUCUUUCAUACAAUAGCUUGCUAAUUAAUUAUGACAGUCUCAACAACUUCAGUGGGUCAUUUCCUCAACUUUUCACAUUGAAAUUAGCUGCUGGAAAGUUGAGAACCUUUCCUGAUUUCUUGAGAAAUCAAUCAAUAUUAAGCACUUUGGACCUAUCUCUAAACUAGAUCCAUGAAAUACCCAACUGGAUUUGGAGGCUUAGUAAUCUUGGUGAAUUAAAUCUUUCUUGCAACUCUCUGGUAAAUCUACCAGGUCCUUUCCUCAAUCUUACUUCUCAUUUGUCUGUGCUUGACCUUCAUUCCAACCAGAUUCAGGGACCAAUUCCAAUGCUUCCACCAUCUGCCUAUUAUCUGGAUUACUCAAGAAAUAAUUUCAGCUCAAGCAUACCGGCAGACAUUGGUGAUUUCCUUGAUUGGACAGUGUUCUUCUCUCUUGCAAGUAAUCACAUCCACGGGAUCAUUCCAGAAUCAGUAUGCAACGUGACAGUUCUUCUAGUUCCUGAUCUGUCCAAUAAUUCCUUAAGUGGCAUGAUUCUCCAGUGCUUAACUGCAGGGAACAUGUCCCUUGCAGUACUUAAUUUAAGGAGAAACAAACUUUUUGGCACUCUUCCUGAUAAUUUUCCUGAGCACUGUAGUCUACAAACACUGGACCUCAAUGGCAAUGUGAUUGGUGGUCAGUUCCCAAAAUCUCUAGCCAACUGCACAAUGUUAGAGGCGUUAAACCUGGGAAACAAUCAAAUAACAGAUGUCUUUCCAUGCUUAUUGAAGAACAUAUCCAGCUUGCGUGUACUUGUGUUGCGUGUCAACAAAUUUUAUGAUCGCAUUGAAUGCCUCAAGACCAAUAGUGCCUGACCAAAGCUUCAAAUUAUUGACUUAGCUCGCAACAAUUUUACUGGCGAAAUCCCAGGAAGUUUAUUGAAAACGUGGCAAGCAAUGAUGGCUGACGAAGAUGGUGCCGUGUCAAAUAUUAAUUACCUCGGAAAUCUUCUAGACCACGACGCGGCAUACUAUCUGGAUACUGUAGCAGUUACCGUCAAAGGUGGAGAAAGAGAAUUGGUAAAGAUCUUAACAGGCUUCACCUCAAUUGACAUCUCCUGCAACAAUUUUAAUGGAUCAAUACCUGAGGAAGUGGGGAAGCUGGUAUCACUCUAUGCCCUGAACUUGUCCAGUAAUGCUCUCACAUGCGCAAUCCCAUCAUCAUUAGGUAAUCUACGACAACUUGAGUCCUUAGACCUUUCGGACAACAAAUUGAGAGGAACAAUUCCAUCACAACUUUCCAAACUUAAUUUCCUCUCAUUCCUAAAUCUGUCGAGCAAUCAACUUGUCGGGAAGAUUCCAACCGGCACUCAAAUUCAGUCUUUUUCAGCAGAUUCUUUCGCAGGCAAUAAGGGAUUAUAUGGGCCACCGUUAGAUGACGGAUCAGCAAGGUUGCCACCAACAUUCGAAGGCAAACAUUCUACUUCUGCGCACGGAAUUGAUUGGGAUCUGAUUGGUGCUGAAGUUGGAUUUAUUGUUGGCUUUGGAGUUGCGGUCGGGUCACUUGUGCUGUGCAAGAGAUGGAGUAAAUGGUAUUACAAAACAAUGUAUAAAAAUCCUUGUUAAGAUAUUCCCUCAGCUUGAAGAUAGAAUUGGUCCUCACCGAAGACAUGUCCACAUAAAUCAAAGGUUCGGACGCAUAAAUUAAUUAUCAUGGAGACCAAUGCAGCUGGACCUCAAGCUAUGCAUGGGGAACUUGAGAUCCAACAAAUAAGACGUUUGCUUUUUGGUUUUACCUUUUAAAGUUGUGUAUGUUCUAGUUAUAUUUGUAAUAGUUUAUUGUGUUAUCUUUAUGCUUUGUUUUCAAUAAACUUCCUCUUACCAUCGAGGUUCUUGAAGUUAGCGUAAUCUGAUAAACCCAAGAGUGUACUUUAUGUAAUGUAUUAUUUGUUCGAAUUGUGUAGUACGAUGUCCAGACCAACUCCACCCAAAAGUGUACUACAAAGAAAAUCUUGACUUCUGAAUUGCGAUAUGUUUUAACAUCUUGCCAUUCAAUUUUGAACUCAUCAUAUCCAGUACUACAACGCCUAAUGAUUUAUGUUUCAGAAUUUCCUCACCAACUUUUAUGUCUGAGAUCGUACCAAAAGACAAAAGCCAACCCUCUCAGGUAAGAACAAGAAAUGAAAAACUCAACCGCUUAUACAAAAUCAGCAAACCACGGUUCAAUCAGUAUUCUCCCUUUCAUGUCAGAGCACAAUGAAAUACUCAUCUGCUUUUACAAAAGUUGAGUCACUCGCCCAAUUUCAACUGGUUUUAGGAGGAACCUCAACUUCAAUUAUAGGACAAAAACUUCUAUCGUUUAAGACUUUUAGUUGACAAAUGCGAAGUAUUGAUCGCAAUGAUUAGGUCUUCCAUAUUAACACUUAACUACUAAAAGAUAGGAUUAACACUUAAUAGGAAUUGAAUUGGGCGUGUUCAGUCAACCCAAUAAAUUCUCCACACAGCAGACUAAAGUAGGAGUAACAUGUAGCUUGCAGAUAUGCCUAGACUACUUCAAAGUGAAUUAGAGUUGAUCUAAUCAUAAACCUGAGUAAUGCACUGCAAAUUUCUGGUUUGGAAUCUCUGACGCUCAGAGAAUAAGCAAAAUGCAUGCAACAAAGCCUCCAUCGUUAAACCUGAAAAAACAACAGUAUGUCAAGUUAUUCUUUUCAUUGGAAUCCUGGGUAAACAUAAUUCUUUCAAAAAGAUCGGAUGCAAAUGCCAAUAUCUUACAGAUUUGUAAUUUCAUAUUGUGAACUAGCACCGCAAUAAAAUAUUUACAUGUAAAUUGCGUAGUGUUUCUAAAUGCUUACCAAUUGGUAGCAUUAGCUAUUAUUGCAGUGUAAACCUCCUUCUAAAUGAAUGAAGCCAGGUGAUAUCUCGCACAAAUGUGAAGAACUUGUUGGAAUCAAUGCUUUUCUCUGAAGCUUUAGCCCUUACCAAAGACAAAAUCUUCGAUUAAUGACUCAAGUCCACAAAAACAAGUCUAGAAUUUCCAAGCUUAUUCCUAAAUUCUAUAACUUUUCUCAACAAUAUUAUCAGAUGCCUUUGCAAGGUCAAAUUGAAAAUCUGUUUUGAAAUGGAAUAAAAUGCCAGAGUGGAAGCAUCGUUUAGAGAACCGUCAUCGCCAACAGAGCCUACAACUAGCUCUUCACCUUCCUUUGACUCCUUACCAGAUUUUUCAGAAAGAGGUUUCCUUUUCUUCAGUAAUUUGAAAAGCAUUAGAAUCCGGUACACUCUUCGAAGUUGAUUCACUAUUGGCAGAACCAUCUGUUUUCUUUAAGAGCUUCAUUAUACCUAGUUGAAUUUUUGCACCGGGGUCAUUCUUCUCAGAAAUUGAAAUAUACUCCAUUAUUAUUUGUUUACAAGAUGGAAGUCCUCUCUUAUAGAGGGCCAAAAACUAGUCCUAACAAGUGGACAAGCCAAAUGAUGAUUACAUGAGGAAAACAUCGAAAAGGAAAAUACGGAGAAAAGGAAAGCAAAGCAAAGUAAUGAUGACUAGCUAUAAAGCAAAGUAAUGAUGGAUAGCUAUAAAGUAAAGUAAUGAUGGCUAGCUAGAGGAAUAAUUACAAGUCUAUUGUCUAUACCAAUAAUGUCUACCAACUAUUGUUGACACUCCCCCUCAAGUUGGUGCGUAGAUGUCAUGAAUGUCCAACUUGCUUUGUGAGUUGUGAAAUACUGAACUUGUGACUGCUUUUGUGAGUAUGUCUGCUAAUUGAUCUUCAGAUUUAACGAAUGGAACUUCAAUAAGUCUUGCCUUAAUUUUUUUCUUUAAUAAAAUGUCUAUCCACCUCCACAUGUCUGGUUCGAUCAUGUUGAACCAGAUUGUGAGCAAUGUCAAUUGCAGCCUUAUUGUCACAAUGUAGACGCAUAGCAUGCUUGGGCCUAAAUCCCAAAUCUCUCAGUAAAUUCUUCACCCAAAGCAGUUCACAUACUCAUGUGCCAUGCUUCGAUAUUCUGCUUCAGCACUUGAUCUAGCAACAACCUUUUGUUUCUUAUUACGCCAAGAGACUAGAUUUCCUCCAACAAUAACAAAGUAUCCUGAUGUUGAUCGUUUGUUAGUUACAUCACCAGCCCAAUCAGCAUCAGUGUAGCCCUUAACCUCAAGAUGAUCAUGUUUUGAAAACAUUAAUCAUUUCCCAGGAGCUAACUUUAAAUACCUCAAGAUACGGUUUACAGCAUCCAUGUGUGUUUCACUUGGUAAAUGCAUAAACUGGCUUACCAUGCUGACUGCAUAUCUUAUAUCUGGUCUAGUAUGUGCAAGAUAUAUUAGCUUACCAACAAUUCGUUGAUAUCUCUCUUUGUUGAUAGGUAUCUGAUCAGGAUAUUCACCAAGUUUGUGAUUCAGCUCAAUUGGGGUAUCUGCUGGUUUGCAUGCUAGCAUCCUAAUUUCCGUCAAAAUAUCAAGAACAUAUUUCCGUUGUGAUAGAAAUAUUCCUUGUUGUGAGCGGGCCACCUCAAUGCCCAAGAAAUACUUUAAAGCAUCGAGAUUUUUCAUCUCAAAUUCACUUGCUAGAUACUUUUGUAGUGUUGCCUUCUCUUCUGGAUCAUUUCCUGUAAUCACCAUGUCAUCCACGUAUACAAUAAGAGCAGUGAUUUUACCUUUCUUAUGCUUUAAGAAAAGAGUAUGAUCUGAGUUGCUUUGCUUGUAUCUGAAAAAUUUCAUCGAUUUGGUAAAUCUCCCAAACCAAGCUCUCGGUGAUUGCUUUAAACCAUACAACGACUUUUUUAGUUUACAAACGUUGUUGGUUUGAUUAGGAUCCAGCUUGCAUCCUGAGGGAAGCUCCAUAUAAACUUCUUCUUCUAAAUCUCUAUGCAGGAAAGCAUUUUUGACAUCGAAUUGUUGCAAAGGCCAAUCAAGGUUUGCUGCUAGGGAUAAGAGUACACGAAUAGUGCUUAUCUUAGCUACAGGGGCAAAAGUCUUUCCGUAGUCAAUGCCAUAUGUCCGCGUGUAGCCUUUUGCCACUAAUCUUGCUUUGUAUCGCUCAAUAGUGCCAUCUGCAUUAAAUUUUACCUUGUAUAUCCACCUGCAACCAACUGAUUUCUUCCCCUUGGGUAGGUUAGUUAACUCCCAAGUGGAAUUUUUCUGGAGUGCCUCCAUUUCUUCAUUCAUUGCACGAGUCCACCUAGGAUCUUUCAUAGCAUCCUCUACACUACAAGGAAUAGAUACAGUGGAUAAUUGAUUCACAAAUGCCUCACAUGAUGUAGAUAGCCUAUGGAGGGACACAUGGUUAGCAAUUGGGUAUUUAACCUUGACUCUAGGAUCAGGAUCAUAUAACUGUUUAGGAAUCCCUCGAGAUUUUCGAGAGGGAAGUUGAUAAUUAAUGGACUCAAUUUGCCUUGACUCAGGUACGAUCUCAAUAGAAUUAGAUUGAUCAGUUACCUGUUGAUUGUGUUUAGGGGCUGAUUGAUCAUGUGGUACCAUCGAAGAAGGCAAUCUCAAGCCAUAUGGACUUAACGUUGCUGGAUGUACUUCUGUGUCUGAUGUUGGAGUCGAUGAUUCUGUUUCUGCAUGUAUUGUUUGAUUACAGUCGUCUGCCGACUUAUCAACAUUUAUCUCAGUUUCUGAAAUUUCUGCAACAAUUUUAAUGUUACUAAUGUCUUGGGUAUCCUCUUCAAACAAACUAUUCUCAUUUUGAAGGGGAUACUCAAUGUCUCCCUUUGAAAAAUAUGUUUCUCCUUCUUGAAACUGGACAUCUGCAGUGAUGUAUAGAGUUUGGGUAGGAGGAUGAAAACAUUUGUAUCCCUUUUUUGUAUCAGAAUAACCCAAGAAUACACACUGGAUGGCACAUGGAUCAAACUUCCCCCGUUGAUGUGGAUAAACCUGUACAUAAGCCACACAACCAAAGACACGUGGUUAUAAGUUUGGGAUAGAUGGAAUGGUGAGAAUGUGGUUAAGUGUUUGGAAUGGUGUUUGAUAUUGGAGAGUAUUGAAUGGUGUUCGAUUUAUGAGAUAUGUUGCAGAACACAGUGCCUCUCCCCAAAACUUAUGACGCAUGUUGGCACUAUAUAAAGAUGCACGAACCACUUCUAAGAGAUGUCGAUUCUUCCUCUCUGUUACACCGUUUUGUUGAGGUGUAUAGGCACAUGUGGUUUGAUGAACAAUACCAUGCUCUUGCAAAUAGUUAUGUAGAGCAUGAUUGACAUAUUCUUCUCCAUUAUCAGACCUGAGUGUCUGAAUUUUCUUGUCAAACUGGGUUGCAACAUAUUGAUGAAAAAAAUUGAACUUGGUAGGAACUUCACUCUUGUGCUUCAUUGGAAACACCCAGGUCAUUCUAGUACAGUCAUCUAUAAAUGUCACAAACCAUCUAAAUCCAGAAGUGGUAAGAAUUCUGGCAGGACCCCAAACGUCAGAAUGAACGACCAUGAAUGGCACAAAACUUUUAUUUAAUCUUAAUGGAUAGGAAACACGAUGACUUUUGGCCAAAAUACAAAUUUCACAAUGGAAAUCAGAUUCUUUGAAUUGGGGAAAAAGUUUAGGGAAUAAAAGUUUAAGAUAACCAAAUGAGGGAUGUCCUAAUCGCUUGUGCCAUAACCAAAUCUUCUUCAUUUGGGUUGAUUCGUCUCUGCUUACAUGAUGCACUAGACUCAAUCUAUUGCUGCAUUCUUCCAUUAAGUCCAAAUAAUAUAGUUUGCCCCUUCUAGUACCACAACCAAUCACGGCCCUUGUGAGCAGAUCCUGGAAAAGACAAUAUAGUGGCCAAAAUGAAACAGAACAAUUAAGGGAGUCAAUAAUUUGAGAAACAGAUAAAAGAUCGUAAUCUAGGGAUGGUACAACUAGGACAUGAUCAAGAUUGAGUGAGGAGGUUAGUGAAAGAGAGCCUUCUCCAGUAACUGGAGAGAUUGAACCAUUGGCACUGGUAAUGAAUGUCUGGUUGGCUGUUUUUAGUGAGUGAAGAAUGUUAGCAUCAAAUGUCAUGUGAUAUGUAGGUAUCAAGGUUCUAAAAAUCGCUAGGCGCUAGUCAAAUGGCUAGGCGGACUAGGCGGAUUUAAGUAAAUCUAUCAUAUUUCAUGUAAAUAAGUGUCUGCUUCUACUUGAAAUAUAUAUAAUUUCAUCAUAAACUACAAAAUACAAUGCAUAUAUAUCAUGAAGUAUUGGAACAUAAUGAAAACAUGUGAAAUAAGGAUAUAAUGUUUGUUCAUUCAAGUAUGCAACAAGUCUCUUACAAUUUAUUGGAAAAAAACAAAAUGCAAAAUGAAAGUUACGUAUUUUCUGUCUAAGUGAGGUGCAACCUAGGCAGGUUAGGCGGGUGCCUAGGCGGGCUAGGCGGGUGCCUAGGUGGUCUAGGCGGUGAGCUGGGGCCUAGGCAUUAAUCGGGGCGGUGGGCUAGGGGCUGGGGCCUAGCGCCUAAGCGGGGAUUUUUAGAACAGUGGUAGGUAUCAAUAAUCCACGAUCUAUUACAAGUAUUAGUGGAUGUAGAGUUAGAUAUAUUUGAGGUGUUCAAGGCUUUUGGGACAUGGUCAGAUGAGUAACAUCUUGAGAAGACUCAGAAGUGGUGAAUGAUGCUCUGCUGGAUUCCUUUUUUGGUCCUUUGUGAACCCAUCCUUCUGGAUAGCAAAUAAUCUCAUAACAGCCUUGAAUAGUAUGAUUUUUCAAUCUGCAUUUGGUGCACUGCAUAGGUGGUCGAUUACGAAAUCGAUCAGCUGUUGAGGAGUUUAUGUUUUGAAGUCGAGGUCCUUGUGGAGAUCGAGAAUUUGUGGUAAAGAGCACAGUAGCUUCAGGCAUGGUGGCACUUUCUGAUAUGGUUCCUUAUCAAUUGCUUUCACGUUUGACAUGAGAGUAUGCUCCUUCAAGACCAGGUUUGGGCUCCAUCAUCAAAAUCUCACCACGAAUUUGAUCAAACUUGUUGUCUAAUCCUGCAAGAAAAAUAUAGACUCGAAGUCGCAAUUUCUUGCUGCCUUGAUAAGAUAUCAUCUGUGUCCUUCAUGUUAGUAGGACUAAGUUGAUCAAGUUCUUGAAAAAUCUCGGUGAGAUUGUUGUAAUAGUUAGCAAUAUGAGCUCCAUUUUGCUUCAUGGUAAAUGACCUUUUGUGAAGAUCAUAAAUUUUGGCUUCAUCAGAGCCAUCUGAGUAAGUCUUUUUUAUGGCAUCCCAUACUUGCAUGGUUGUGUCGUAACGGAUGAACCGCUUCAUCUGAUUGGGUGUCAUAACAUCAAAUAACCAACUUUUGACUUGGCAAUUUUCAGCUCGCCACUUGUUAUACAGUGGGUCUGUGAUUGCAAGCUGCUUGGUAUCACCGGAAAGAUGCCCAUGUUUUUCUCGACCAACAAUUUUCAUCUUUAUGACUUGAUGCCAUAGAGAAUAGUUGUUCUCAUCAGGUUUAAUUCCUGCAGAGAAAUUGGAAUUAUCAUUUUGAAUGGUGACCACUUGUGUGGUGGAGUUUGAUUCACAUGGUGUGAAGGACUGAAUUGGUGGGUCUGAUACUUUAUCAUCACUAGCCAUUGUAUAGGCUUAAGAUCAAUGAAGUUGAAAUAAAAAUAAAACUGAUAUGAUGAUUGAGAUAUGAUAUGGCGGAAGCUUUUUUCUGUUUUUGAGGUUCAAGAGUCAGUCGUGAUCGACUGCUCUGAUACCAUCUCAAAAUUUGAAAUAUACUUCAUUAUUAUUUGUUUACAAGAGGGAAGUCCUCUCUUAUAAAGGGCCAAAAACUAGUCCUAACAAGUGGACAAGUCAAAUGAUGAUCACAUGAGGAAAACACCGAAGAGGAAAAUAAGAAGAAAAGGAAAGCAAAGUAAUGAUGACUAGUUAUAAAGCAAAGUAGUGAUGACUAGCUAUAAAGUAAAGUAAUGAUGGCUAGCUAGAGGAAUAAUUAUAAGUCUAUUAUCUAUACCAAUAAUGUCUAGCAGCUAUUGUUGACACUUCUGACCAAAAUAACCACUGGGAAGUGUAUCUAACGGACCAAGUCCACUAUAUGCAUCAACGGCAGAUUGAACUUCACUCUCACGCUGGCAACAAGUAAUUCUAGCAAACCCUUCACUCAGCUUAGGCAGUUCUUUCUUCUGCAGCAUUCUAUUCACAAUCACAACAGCUUUCCCGCCUUGCACGUUUCCUUCAUGGCCGUUCGCUUCACGACCGUGAUAUACCAAGCUUGGCGGGAAGAUCAAGCACCACAGCAUGAACAUCAACCUGGGCACUACCACCAAGCUUCACAAAUCAUCCCUUUGUGCUUUCUCUAAAUUACACCUACCUAUAAACACACUCUUCCCAUUCUUCAACCAUUUUUGAUAGUAUCCUAUAUAAAAACAUAAAAAGUGAACUUAUAACAGCAUAAAACAAGAACCAAAAUGAAUAGAAAUCUGGAGUAUCACACUAAGUAUUGAAAAUAGCAAUCUUGAGCCCACUGAGGCAUUUCAUCGAAAAUAUUGUGCACAUAGAGAUAAACCUGGCAAAGCCAGCACCCUAAAAUGGUAAAGCUUUCAAUAUAUUAAAAAAGCAUUCCCUUUUUAAAAAAGAAAAACUAACAAUGAAGUUUCAAAACUUUAAAUUUUAAUAAAAAAUCAUGUAAUAACUUUAUUUAAUAGUUAGAAUAAAGCAUAACACUAAACCAGUCCAAUUAAAAUGACCUAAAGGUUGAGUUUCCGAUUGUGCCCCAUACAGCAAAGCAACAUGCCGUCCCUUCCUUCUCGUACCUUUUCUUUUUAUCCAAGUAUGGAAGUAGUUCUAGUAAUUUUUUUUUCUUUUGAAAAUUUUUAAUCACGACAUUUUAAUUGAGAAGAGCAAAAUAUUAAAAAUAUCCCAUCUCCAAGGAUUUUUUAUUUUUUACCAAAUAUUCAAGCAAGUAGUUUCGUUGACUGUUUUUUUUUUAAAAUUCUUUAAUCACAUUUUCUAAAUUUAAAUUCAUUCAAAAAAGCAAAAAAUAAAACGAAAGAGCAAACUAGUUACAUUAAACAUACAGGCUUUUUUUUUAAUUUUUUAAUAUUUAAUUUAUAAACAAUAGCUUUAAUUAAAUUGUUUUUCUUUUGUUUUGAACGAACGAUACUAUUUACACGAAUCCGGUGACGAAGUGGGCUAAGCCUCACAAUAGGCUAACAAGCGAAGAUGAAUUUAAACCUUAGAUUUCUCACUUACAAGUGAAGAUGAAUACCACUAGACCGUAGUAUUAAGUGGCUAGUGGGUUAAAUUGUUAAAUACGAGAGAGACGAGGGAUCGGUAGGGAUUGAACGCAUCAGGAUGCAUACACAGUAACCUUGAUUAAUGACAUUCGAAAUAAAGAGAAAAAUAAAGAAAAAGAAAGAAAAUAAUCUAUACGAGGGUACAAACACAUAUUAAAUACAAAUCAUCUAGCUUAUUAGAUGGAGUAUUUGACAAAUCAAAUAAUGUAGCGAGCCAGGCCGCCGCGUGAGGUCGAAUGGGGUGUGUUAGACAAAUAAGAUAAUGUAGUAAAAUUCCUACGUAUUUUAGAUGAACUUUAUUUUAAGAGGACAUGUGAGAUUUGUGAAUGCCAAAAAUACCAUACGAAUUCUAUCUUAUUUUACCCCUUUUGCGCCCGAAUGAUGGUAGUUGGGAAUUUCAUCCUAUCCCAGGCCACGAUCAAGCAGAUUCACAACUUACAAAGUAUUAAACCUAAGACCUCCCUUUUUUUCCUUUGGGGAGUUGUUGUUCGCCUUUGUUUCACUGAAUCACUUGUCCUGGUUUAUUGAUGAUAGUAUUUUACUGGAAGUAAUAUAUCAUACACUCUUUCUUUCUCCCCAAACACCCUUUUUCAAUCUUUUUCGUUGAUUUUGUUGAAAUUAUUCAAUUUGAUAACACAAUACAAAAAAAUGCUUGGGGUUAUCAUUCUUUUAUUCACUAAUCACAAAACCAAUUUGUUAUAUGUGAAAUGUACCAAUUUUUUUUAACACUAUGGAUACAUUCUUUUGCCAUUUAUUAUUUCUUAUUUUUACAUAGUUUUUAUCCAUUUAUUUAAUCAAAAUGUUUGAAUUUUUUUAUUGGAACCUUUUCUAAUAGUAUUAUAAUGAGAGAUUUUAAAUUUAUAGGAUUAUAAAUCUCAUAAAAUAUCAAACAAUUAAUGUCAAAACUAUAAAAAUAAAAAUAUUAAUAGUAAUAUAAUGAGGUGUACAAAGUCAAGGGAUCUUGAUCAAACUUUGAAUACGAUUAAGGUUUUAAUCAAAGAAUGUUAAGGAUUAUGAACCGUAUCCAAAAUAUCCCUAAAAUAAAAUAAAAUUUCUGCCCCCUACCAAACAGCCAUACCAAAGAAGUCAACCUAACAAUGUCACAAUUCCACAGCUAGCCCCUGAAGUUACAGGCAUGGCCAUGAAUUUCACAUUUGAGAAAAGUGAGACCUUACAUGUGCAGCAUACUUAUAAGUAAUUGAAAUGCUCCCAAUAUUACCAAUUAGUUUUAUGGUGCAACCUCAACUUUUUUCAUGCUGCUAGAGCAGAUUGUUCUAUGUAUGAAACCGAACGGCCACAUGUGCUCCAUGUAACACGAUUUAUGUUGUCUACAUGCUAGGCUUGAAAAUCCGUCUUCUGUGAAGUUGCUUAGGGGCCCGGAGGUGAUGGUUGCUCCACCAAGUCUUUGCCCCCACGGUCACCUCGCUUUUAAUUCGGACCCUAUUUUUGUUGCAGGUUACAGACUUUGAGAUGUGGGAUUUUAGAGGGAGAACACUUGAAAGUCGAGCAAUUUUGGAGGGAGAAGACUUAGACCUAGUUUGGGAGUGAGGUGCUUAAAAAAAAAACACCCAUGAAAAAAAGUUGUGAGGGUUUUAGGUGUUUGGUAAACUGAAAAAAAAGAGCUUAUUUUGGAAGCUACUGUGAGAAUAAGCUGAAAUCAAAGGAAAAAGCUGAAGCUGCUAUUUGUAGCUUUGGAAAACUGGCUUUUUUUCAAAUCACAUGGAGCUACAGUGCUUCUUUAAUGAAAAAAUCCAAUAUUAGACUGCUUUUUUUUUUCCAAAAGCACUUUUACAAAAAAGUUUACCAAACACUCUGCUGAUUUAUUUCACAGCCGCUUAUUCUCACAGCACAGCCGCUUAUUCUCACAGCAGCUUUUUUUUCAAAGCACAGUAAUACCAAACCAGCCCUUAGUCAGUCAACAGCCACCGGAAAUGAAGAUAGGAAAGCAACCCGGUAAGACUUGAACAUCAACCCAACCACAAAACCGAAUGACCACUGAAAAUUUCUGGUGUUUGGUGGCAAUGUACUGAGAGUUUGUGGUUGAAAAUCUCUAGGUGUUCUGGAAGUAAGCAGACUGCAUGCAAUAAAGCCUCCAACCAUCUAUCCAAACUAUGUUAAAACCUGGUUGAGCAAAGUUGUAGGCGCUGAUUCUUUCUUUUUCAAAUACUAAUGAAGAAAUUUUUUACAUCUAAAGAGAAAAAAAAAAUGUACUAGCAACGGUUAAUUAUCACCUGACAUAGAAUGAACACAAUAAGAAGCGAGUGAUUUAAGUGCAAGUUUUUAUUUUGGACAAAAAAAGAAGGACGUUCAUGCAACCAAACGUACAAAUAAAGGACUUGUAGGUCAAUUGGUUUAAGUAUUUACCCAUGAGAGAAAAAACACGAUGACGCGUUUAUGGAAUGCAAAUCAUAUAAAGCAAUCAUGAGCACCCAUGUAGGUGGGAGUGUGACAUGCAUCCACUUUCUUCCACUUCUCUUGUGUUGGCACCACUAUUUCUUCAUGGCUACAGAGAUGGCAGAAGACUUCAAAGUCCACAUGAAAGAAGAAAAACUAUUCGUCCCAUUUCCCCUUUUCCGAUUCAACAAUGCGUAUUAAAGCCACCACAACCAUUCUCAGUUUCCAUCACUUUCCCCGAUUAUAGUCCACGGGCCUAGCCCCCAGAGCAGCCACUAAUUAAGACCAAAUUGGUCUCUGACUCACACACCAUUACACAUUCUUUAUAUGCAUGUGUAAUUAUUCCCAACAGAACACAGUAUAUUUACAAAGAAGAAUAACUAGGGACCUGCCUAUUGCCUAAGCUAUUCCUUACUUACAUUUGGUGUCACAUAUCAGCAGCAACUUCCGAUGAAAACUCCUCUGCUUUCAUGGCUUUUCUUAAUCCGCAUUUGCUGUGUUUCACUCAGCUUCCAUACGUUUGUGGUCUCUAGACAAUGUCCCGGCGAUCAGCAAUCUUUGUUGCUACAAUUGAAGAACAGCCUCACAUUUGACCCUGCAACAUCUCAAAAACUUGUGAACUGGAACAAUGGCUCGGAUUACUGCUCUUGGGAAGGAGUGUGUUGCAAAGAGGGUUGUGUUUCGAAUCUGGACUUGAGCAGCGAGGCGAUUACUGGUGGACUUGAUCAUUCCAGUUCUCUUUUUGGUCUGAAGUCAAUUGAGAACCUAAACUUGGCUUACAACUUCUUCAACUACACUCAGCUUCCUUCCGAGCUCAAGCAGCUAACAGGUUUGAGUAAUCUGAACUUGUCGAAUGCUGGCUUUGCAGGGCAGGUUCCAAUUGAGAUUUCACACCUUACGAGGUUGGUAACUCUUGAUUUGUCUACCUUUUAUUUCUCGGGAGCUCUGUUGCUGAAACUUGAGAUGCUGAAUUUGAAUGUGCUGCUUGGGAAUUUUUCUGAGCUUGUUGAACACUAUCUUGAUAGUGUGAAUAUUUCAGCACAGAGAACUGAGUGGUGCCAAGCUAUAUCAUCUUCACUGCCAAAAUUGAGGGUGCUGAGCUUGUCCAGUUGUAAUCUUUCAGGCCCUAUUGAUGGUUCAUUACUGAAGCUUCACUCCCUCUCGGUUAUUCGUUUAGAUAACAAUGAUUUGUCUACUCAAAGUUCCCAAAUUUGACUUCCUUGCACCUAAGCGAUUCUGGCUUAUAUGGUUCAUUCCCAGAGAAGAUCUUCCAGCUACCUACAUUGCAGACUAUUAACUUAUCAGGCAAUCAACAUCUUCAGGGUUCCUUACCAGAAUUUCCAAAGAAUGCAUCUCUCCGGUCCUUGGUUCUAAGCGGGGCUAACUUUUCAGGCCAGCUGCUUCCGAACUCUCUUGGAAACCUCAAAAUGUUGUCCAACAUAGAUAUUUCGGGUUCCAAUUUCACUGGAUCAAUCCCAAGGUCAGCAGGACACCUUCAUCAAUUGGUUUAUUUUGACUUGUCACGGAACAAGUUCAAUGGCUCUGUUCCAUCCUCCAGUAUGGCCAAGAAUCUGACCCUUAUAAACCUUUCUCACAAUCAGCUAACGGGUCAGAUUAAUUCCACUCACUGGGAAAACCUUACUAAUCUGAUGUAUCUCAACUUGAGAUCCAAUCAAUUAGAUGGGUUUAUUUCACCAUCUCUGCUUUCUCUUCCCGUCCUGCAACAAUUACAGCUUUCCAACAAUCACUUCUCUGGUCAGUUGCCUGAAUUUUCAAAUGUCUCUUCGUACUUACUGGGUACCCUCGAUUUGAGUUACAACAAAUUGGAAUGGUCAAUUCCGAUGUCUAUCAUGAAAUUCCAAGGGCUUAAGAUUCUUUUACUUUCAUCAAACAACUUCACCGGCUCUUUCCUUCUGAAUGAUAUUCAGCAGCUAAGCAAUGUUUCAAAUCUUGAUCUUUCUUUCAAUAGCUUGUCUAUUAAUUACAAUGACAUCAAUUCCUCUCCUUGUUCAUCUCCAAAAAUUACCACCUUGAAGUUAGCUUCUUGCAAUUUGAGAAGAAUCCCAGGUUUCUUGCGAAAUCAAUCGACAUUAGGCACUUUGGACCUAUCACAAAACCAGAUUCAUGGUGAGAUACCCAACUGGAUUUGGAAGUUGAGUAGUCUUAGUCAACUAAAUCUUUCUUGCAACUCUUUGUUAACACUAGAAGGUCCUGUCCUCAAUCUUACUUCUAUUUUCUCAGUGCUUGACCUUCAUUCCAACCAGCUUCGGGGACAAAUUUCAGUUCUUUCACCAUUUGUCUAUUAUCUGGAUUACUCAAGAAAUAAUUUCAGCAUUCCGGCUGACAUUGGUAAUUUCCUUAUUGUUAGAGUUGCUGCACAAUAAAACAGGAACAAUAUUACCAGAGAAUGAAGAACGUAAAAUGAAAAUCUGUCUUGGGUUGAGUUGCGGACAAUGUCGCUUUCUUUAAGACGUUUCACGGCUUUGCCCAAUGUGUGCAAACAGUUCGAAUAACACCACGUCGUCCCCAGGAUAAAACAGCCCAGAAUCCCUCUGUCUAGACCUUCCUUUGCACUGAGGAAGAUCCGAAAACACUCACCCUCUGAAUACUCAGUGUUAUUAGCUAGGUUUUUCUUAGUUUUUUUCUUUGUGUGUCGACUAAAGAGAGGUCCUCAAAUUUAUAUAGAAAAACCAAAGUUUAACGUUGAAGAGGUUGAGGGAAAGGUGGCCUAAGAAUCAGGCCAAAAAAUCUGGUAGUGAUCACCUAGUUGAGGAAGACUAGGUCUUUUCCUUUAUCUUCAAAACCAAAAUCUAUUUGAUAAAAUACAAGUAACCAUAAAAAUAGGAGAGCUAGUUCCUGAAUAAAACCAUAACUAUGGUUUUAAAAUAAACACAAAGUUUCAACAAUCCCCCACUUGUUUAUUUAAAAACAAAAUUUGUUCAUUGAGCAAUCAAGUUAUAGAGUUGUGCUUAAGCACAAGUGUUAAUCAACUUGAACUAGUACAUAGUGUCAUUGCCUCAGAACAACAAGUGUUACACCCCACCCCCAAUUAUAUGUAUAAAUUCGUAAUUUUCCCAAAAAUUUAUUGGAAUUAUAAAUUUAGUCCCUAGUUCUUUACCCAAUCCGGAUCUAAAAGUGGGAUUUCCUCCAACCCUCAAACUACCAUGUGGCAGCACCCCAACACUCCUCACUUUUCUCUCUUUUUUCCCCCACCCCGAGACCUCUCUCUCACUCUCACCUUCAGCUCUUUCUCUGCACUCCCUCUUCCUCUCUCGAAAACCCUCUCACUCUCUCUCCCUUCGACCCACACCAGACAGCACCCACAUCACCUUCUCGCUGUCAUCUACACCACCACCAUCAACACCUCAUCUUUUUCUUUCUUUCUCUCUCUCUCUCUCUCUCCAGCGACAGAAAACUCUCCAGUGAGAUUUUCUCAUCUUUCCAGCUAGGUAAGCCUCGGGAUUCUCUCUCUGUGUUUUAGGUUGAUGUUGAGUUCGAUUGUUGAGAGAUUAAUUGUUGUUGAAACACCCCAACCCCAUUUUAUUUAAAAAAUUGUUUUAAAGCCGUAAUUGGUGAGCCUGUGGGGCCCACCUUGUUUUAUUUUUUUGUGUUUCCCAGUCUCCCUUUCUCCUAUCCCAGUUCUCUUUCUUCCUCUUCUUCUUCCCUUUCCCGUAUACCUCUCUCAUCUCUCUCUCCCUCUCUAUCACCAUGAACACCCACCACCAUAACCACCUGCAGCUACUCUACUCGAGAACAUCAUCAUCAUCAUCAAGCAUUGCUCUAGUCUCUCUUCCAUCGCAGCGAGAUUGGUGAAAGCAGAGAAAAGGAACCUCCGGCGAGCACUGACCCUUUCGAGGCCAUUUCCGGCCAAACCAAGGCAAGUUGGCCGGCAUGUAACGUAUCAAUCUCUUCGUCUCCCUGAGUACUACAACUUUCCUUUUUGUUUCACUCAAUUUCGUUGAGUAUUGAAGAAGUUAUACUCAUUUGAAUUUUACCCAGUUUCCGGCGACCUCCGAGUCUUUCAAGGAAUUUUCCGGCCAAACCACGGCGAGUUAGACAUCAUGUGAGGUAUCAUUCUCUUCGUCUCUUCAAGGGCUACAACUUUCAUUUUGUCUCACUUGAUUUCGUUGAGUACUGACAAAGUUAUAGCCGUUUAAAGUUGGGUAGUUUUCCAGCCGAAUUUCCUACCUUCUCCUUCGACAAACCCAGGCCAUCCGGCCUAUCCCAUUUCCUCCCCUCGGGCCUUAGGCCCGUGUUGUCUUAAGCCCAAAACCCUAACCCCUUUAGUUUUUAAGUUUGUUAUUUGGUUUUUAAAACCCUUAAGGCCUGGGCCGGUUUUGACUUAAAGGGCUUAAAGCCCUGUUAGUUUUUGUGAGGCCUUAGGGCCUUGGUGCCGUGGGUGUGUGUGUUAGGUGUGAGUGUGUGUAUGUGUUUAUGCAUGCACAUGCAUGCCCCGUGUGUGUGUGUAUUUGUAGUAUGUGUGUGUGUUUGGGCUAAAGCCCAAACCCCAAUUCUCACCCUAAAGCCUUUUAACCCAAAAACCCUAGGUUUCUAAAACCCAUUUAAAACCCUAAUCCGGAUUUCAAGUCUAAAACUCGUUUGACCUAAUUUGACGGUUGACUCCCGGUCAACGUUGGCCUUCAAGGUUGACUUUUCGGGUUUUUGCUCAAAAUCCCUCUUAAGCUAAUUUCAACGUUCUGAAUCUGUUUCCAACGUCCGUUUUCCCAAAUUCAAUUUCUAUUAUAUAGUUUUAUUUAUUGGACUCUUUAUGUGCUUAGGGGCAAUUAUUGUGACGUUUCCGUCUUCGCUAGUGGCGUAGUUUUUGGCAGCUAAGUACUGUGAGUUGACCCUUUCUAAAAUUACAUGAUUUUAUAGUUUAAUUGCAUAAAUGAUUAGCAUGCCUACGAAUUUAUGAAGUGAUUUAUGUGAAGCCUGUUGAUUUAAUAUAUUGAUUUUCGUCUCGUGUUUUUGGUGAGGAAUUCAUUGUUGGCCUAUAUUGAGCUAUAUUUUAAUAUAUCGUAUUUUCUAUAAAAACCAUGAACUGGUAGACUAUCUGAUAGAUGACGAUAGGAUGCUAGAACAUGUUUUUGAACCCCUCUUUAUAGUGUAGACGAUGAUCGAUAAUCUCAGUUAUGAAGUGGUUAUUUAUGAGAUGCGUGAAUAUUUGUGCGUACCUAGUAGACACUAUGCCGCCUGGGGCGAGGAACUGGUGUUGGCAUUUAGGCCGGGAGAAAUAAUCCCUAGCUAUGGGCUGAGGGACAUGGAGCAGGUAUUGGGCCGGGAGUUGUUAAUCUCUGACUACGGGCGCAGAGACCACGGAGCAGGCAUUGGGCUGGGAGUUAUAUUUAUUCGGUGAUGUUACUAGCAACACACCGCGCUUAUGAGACGAUUUAUGAGACGUUUACUAUUUUGAUUUCCGCGAUGUUAUUCCGCGAUAUGGCUUUUGAGAUAUUUUGGCAUGCUAUGAUUUUUAUUAAAUCCAUCACUUAUUAUGCUAGUAGUUUUCAUUAUAUAAACUGUGGGGGUUAGUAUCUUGAUAACUGUUUUAUUAUUAUUAUUAUAUAUAUAUAAACUUGGCUCACUCACCUUUGUUUUGUGCCCCCAUUCAGGACUUAGAAUCAAGGCAUCUAAUCCCGGCGUGAAGGCACUUCCGCAGCAGCAUAUUCGAGUCCUCUUGGUGUAGGACCCUCAUCCUUUAUUUAUUCAAUUUUAUAUAAAUUCUUUUAGUGAUUAGGUUUAGUUGUAUGCUCUAAACACGUUCCUAAAUUGUUAGUUCAUUGUAUUUCAAAUUUCUAACCCUUAUUUAUUUCUUAUUCUUAGCUUUUGUAUCAAUUAAUGGCUUUCGUCACCCUCGGGUGUCGGCCAGCACGUGUCUAUCCUGGUAUUCGGGGAAUAUCAGGGUCAGGGCGUGUCAGUUGUUGGCAAGGUUUAAAACGAGAAAACGAGACUGGCUCGGGGAAACGAAACCCAUCUCCAACGAGUCCCAUGGGUGUCGAGGAGUUUUUUUACCACCACUGGCCGUUUCACGACGAACCAAAGGUAUCAAAUCACUCAUUUCACUUUCCACUACAUGUUGAUACUAGAUCGAAGCUUAGGGUCCUUGUUUAUCGUCAGCCGGAGCUGGGAAAGCUUCGACGUUCACCUCUAUCAAGCCCAAGCCUUUCAGGCCGUUUCAAACCCUCAGGUUUUAGGCCCGUUAAGAACCUAGCCCAAAAUCCUUUUCCGUUUCAUUUUUAUUUUUUAUUUUAAUUGUUUUAAAACCUAAAAGGCUUUCGGGCAUGUUCCUUUAAGGCCUUUAGCUCAUUGACCCAACCCUAAAAAAAUCUUAUAUUUGGGCCAGGCGUUUAAGCCUGGGCCUGUGUGAUUUAAAACCCAGGUUAAGGCUUUAGGGCCAAAUAGAACUUGGGCUUCCAGCCCAACCCUAAGCCUAUUUCCCUAAACCCAUUAACCCUAAACACGGUCUAACCCUAAGCCCAGACCCUGUUUGGCCUGGUCUGACCCGAACCCGUUAACUUUAACCUGAUCUGACUGUUGACCCUUUCGGAUAUUAAAAUCUUUCAUCUUCCCCUUCUACACCUGACUCUUUAUGUCGGCACAUUUCUGAUCAAGUUCCUGGGCUUCCCUGACCAUAUCCACCAAAACAUAUCUAACCUGGAAGUGUGCCAACCAAGCUUUCUGAUCACGCGGUUUCACAGUAAUGCUGGUUUCUCGAAGAGAAAAUAGUAACGGAACAUGGAUAGCUCCAAGAGAAGCAAGAUGUCCGUGAUAUUUCCGGCUAAGUGCAUCCGCCACUACAUUGGCAUGUCUGAGAUGAUAUUCGAUCGUGCAGCCAUAGUUAAUGAUGAGCUUCAUCCAUCUUCUUUGCCUCAAACUCAAAUCUUUCUGCAUAAAGAUAUAUUUGAGGUUCUUAUGAUCAGUGAAGAUGCGGCACUUCUCGCCAUACAGGUAAUGUCUCCAGAUUUUCAGAGUAAACACCACUGUGCCAAGUUCCAAAUCAUGAGUGGGAUAAUUUCUCUCGUGGGUCUUGAGGUGCCUAGCAGCAUAGGCAAUGACUUUCCCAUGCUGCAUCAAUACACAACCAAAACCUGAAAGAGAUGCAACAAUGUAGAUCUCAAACUCACCACCCUCUUCCGGAAGGGCAAGGACUGGAACUUGAGUAAGAUGUUGCUUCCACUCCUGAAAACUCUGUUCACAGUUUUCAUCCCACUCAAACUCGACCUCCUUCCAACUUAACUUAGUCAAAGGCAAGGCAAUUGCUGAGAAACCCUUAACAAAUCGUUGGUUAUAGCCAGCUAGACAUAGAAAACUCCUCACCUUUGUAACAUUCCUCAGUUGCUCCCAUGUAGAUAUUGCCGAAACCUUCUGAGAAUCCACACUAAUUCCCUCAGCAGAUACUACAUGUUCGAGAAAGCUGAUCUGGUUUAGCCAGAACUGACACUUACUGAAUUUAGCAUACAACUACUGACUUUUCAACCUUUCCAACACCAACCUCAAAUGUUUCCUGUGUUUGGCAACAUUCUUAUAAUAGAUCAGGAUGUCAUCGAUGAACACAAUCAUAAACCAGUCCAGAUACAGUCUGAAGACACUGUUUAUCAAAUCCAUAAACGCUGCAGGUGCAUUCGUUAAUCCAAAAGGCUUGACAUAGAAUUCAAAGUGUCCAUACCUGGUACGGAAGGCAGUAUUCGGUACAUCUUCCUCCCGGAUUAGUAGCUGGUGAUAACCUACGCGAAGAUCAAUCUUAGAGAACACCUAAGCACCAUUCAGUUAGUCAAACAUGUUGUACAUGCCUCAAGAUAACGAAGUGAUGAAAAAGGAAAUCUUGGAUGAAGCACACAUUUCAGCAUAUGCCAUGCAUUCGAGAAGCACCAAACUGUAUCACACUAUUCGUCUGUUCUAUCACUGGGUUGGAAUGAAACGGGAUAUGGCGGAUUAUGUGAGUAGAUGUAUUAUCUACCAACAGGUGAAGGCUAAGAAACAACGACCUAGGGGACUAAUGCAAAAUCUUCCGAUACCAGUAUGGAAAUGGGAAGACAUCACCAUGGAUUUUACGUAUGGUUUGCUGAGGACAUAGUCGGGAUUUGACAACAUUUGGGUAAUUGUAGAUCGACUCACUAAGACCACUCACUUAUUGCCUGUUCGGCAAACCUAUUCACUAGAAAAGCUAUCGAAGUUGUUCAUCGAUAAUAUUGUCAGAAUUCACGAUGUACCCGUCUCCAUCGUUUCAGACAGAGAUCCCAGGUUUACUUCUAGGUUUUGGAAAGUUUUUAAUACUGCCAUAGGUACUCAAUUGUUGUACAGCACUGCCUACCAUCCUCAGACCGAUGGUUAGUCCGAGCGGAUAAUUCAGGCAUUGGAGGACAUGUUAAGAGUGUCUGUUAUUCAGUGGAAGGGUAAUUAGGAUAGCUACCUGUCGUUGGUUGAGUUUACAUACAAUAACAGCUAUCAUUCAAAUAUCGACAUGGCACCUUAUGAGGCUUUAUAUGGGAAAGUGUUUCGGACACUGUGGUGUUAGACAAAGGUCGGCAAACGAGUGUUAGUGGGGCCAGAGAUUGUGGACACCACCAAUGCUAACAUCCAGCUGAUUAAGAGAAACCUAAAGGUAGCAUAAGACCGACAGGAUAAAGUUUUGAAGAACAAAGUUAUUUCGUUGGUGAAAGUGCUUUGGAGGAACCAUGUUGUUGAGGAAGCGAAGUAGGAAACGGAGAAUUUGAUGAGAAGUCAGUACGCGUUUUUAUUUGGUUGAGGUUGUAAUUUCGAGGAUGUAAACUUUUUUAAGAGGGUAGAUUGUUACACUCCACCCCCAAUUAUAUGUAUAAAUUCGUAAUUUCCCCAAAAGCUUAUUGGAAUUAUAAAUUUAGCCUUAGUUUGUUACCUAAUCCAGAUCUAAAAGUGGGAUUUCCUCUCAACCCUCAAACUGCCACGUGGCAGCAACCCAACACUCCUCACUUUUCUCUCUUUUUCCCCUACCUCAAGACCUCUCUUUCACUUUCACUUUCAGCUCUCUCUCUGUGCACUCCAUCUUCCUCUCUCGAAAAUCCUUUUACUUUCUCUCCCUUUGACCCACACCCGAGAGCACUUACACCACCUUCCCGACGUCAUCAACAACACCACCAUCAACACCUUGUCUCUUUCUUUUUCUUUCUCUGCUCGCUACGAGGACGGGGAAAGACUGAAAACUCUUCGGUGAGAUUUUCUCAUCUUUCCAGCUAGGUAAGCCUUAGGAUUCUAUCUUUCUAUUUUAGGUUGAUGUUGAGUUCGAUUGUUGAGAGAUUUAAUUGUUGUUGGCAAGGUCUAAAACGAGACCAGCUAGGGGAAACAAAACCUAUCUCCGACAAGCCUUGUGGGUGUCGAGGAGUUUUCUGACCACCACCAGCCGUUUCACGACGAACCAAAGGUAUCAAAUCACUUCUCUCACUUUCCUCUACAUGUUGAUACCUAGAUCGGAGCCUAGGGUCAUUAUUUGCUGUCGAUCGGAGCUAGGAAAGCUCCGGCGUUCACCUCCGUCAAGCCUAGGCCUUUUAGGCCGUAUCAAACCCUCGGGCUUUAUGCCUAUUAAGAACCCAGCCCACAAUCCUUUUUUGUUUCUUUUUUAUUUUAAUUAUUUUAAAACCAAAAAAGCUUCGGGCCUAUUCUUUUAGGGCCUUGGCCCGUUGACCCAACCCUAAAAACUCUUAUAUUUAGGCCAGGCAUUUAAGCCUGGGCCCAUGUGAUUUAAAACCCAGGUAAGGCCUUAGGGCCAAAUAGAACUUUGGCUUCCAGCCCAACCCUAAGCCCAUUUCCCUAAACCCAGUCCAACCCUAACCCGUUUAACUUGGUUUGACCUGGACCUGUAACCCGUUGACUUUGACCCGAUCUGACCGUUGGCCUGGUUAACGUUGACCAUUGACUUUGACUUUCGGGUUGACUUUUCUGGUUUCGUCCUAAACUCCUCUUAGGCUAAUUUCGACGUCCUGAACCCAUUUCUGACGUACGUUUUCUCAAAUUAAGUCGUUUGAGUAGAGUUGACUAAAUGUACCCUUUAUAUGCAUAGGUGAAAUUAAUAGCAGUGUUCCGUUAUUUCUUUUGGUAUAGCUUUGCACCAAUGGUGUACGGUGAGUUGACCCCUUCUAAAAUGCAUGUUUUAAUAGUAGAAAUGCAUACAUGGAAAAGCAAGAUUUAACAAUAAUGUUCUAUGAAACAUGAUGAGAUAACAUGCUUAUUGAGGCUAGAUUGAAUUACUAUUACUUUUUCUAUAACCCGUGUUCUUUAUAGAAUAUCUUAUGAAUGACGAUAUACUAUUUAGAACAUGUUUAGAACACUUCUUUAUAGUAUAGAUGAUGGAUGACUUUAUACUAUGAAGUUGCCUUUCAAAUAAAUGUAUGUUCCAAUGGUUUUGUACUUACCUAGUGGUCCCUAUUCCGCUACGGGGCGAGGGAUAGAUUCUGUUCCGGGCGACAGUUAUGGUGUUGACAUAGGGCUUGAAGUUUUUUUUCCUCUAGCAAUUAGCAUAGGGAUGGGGAGCUGGCAUAGUGCCUGGGGGUUAUUUUCUUCUGACAACUGGUACAGAGACGGGGAGCUAACAUGGGGCCUGGGGGUUAUCGGAUAUUCACUAGUGAUUAUUAUAUAUACAAGAUAUGUUUUGAGACAUUGCACGACAUGCUAUGUUUCGGAAAAUAUAUUUUAUCAUGUUAUAUAUGUUUUCAUAAAACCUGAAGGUUAGUAUGUUGAUAACUGUUUUAUUAUAUCCAUAUCAACUUGGUCUACCCUUGUUUGUUUUGUGCCCCCUUCAGGAUCUAGGAACGAGGAAUACGAUUUGAGCUAUGAGGCAUUCCCCUACCAGUGAUAUCGUGUUAUAUUCUCUCUGCUUCGGCAUCUGUUGUAAUAACACUCUCUAUCUUAAAUUUCCGCUUGUACUCUGUAUUAGACUUAUACUCUGAACAUGUCAUGCAUAAUCUUAAUAUUAAUUGUUAGCAGUUGAACUUUAGUAUUGUGUUAUUCGUCCCUAUUGCAUGGUUAGUCCCAAUUUAUAUGCAUGGUUCACAUGUUCUUAGCAUUUGCAUAAAUUAAAUGGCUUUCGUCACCCUUUGGGUGUCGGCCAACACGUGACCAUCCCGAUGAUCCGAGGACAUCGGGAUCAAGACGUGUCAACAAGAGUAACACUUGGUUUUGAACUCUACCUCUGACGACAAAGCAUACACAUCUCUUCUAGGGUGAAGUUCGAAACCAGCACGUUUCGGCCUUGUGCUUGUAUCCCGGUUUAGUGAUAAUGUUAAGAAGUUUGCCCUUAAACUUCUCAGUUUGUGGCCUCACCUUCAUCAUGACAUAGGUGAAACUAUCAAGGACAUUUCUACAGCUAGAUGUCCCACUAAAUAAAAGUAUAGUUAUCAUUAAGAGUAUCACAAACUCAUCCUUCUAAUCGCUAUAGGAUGUCAUGCUUCUGUAAAUGAUUAAAAUGACAUUUCUUAGCUUCAUAGCAUGAUUCCAUAUCACUUCAUGACUUGUUAUUACCUUUUGAACCAAUUUCUCAGGAUCUCUAGUCUAUUGGUUGGGUUACCAUCAUAAGUGACUCAACUAUCUAAAGGCAAUAACCUCAUUCCUUUGGAGGGUUUCCAAACUUUCUCACAAGCUAAUCAUUUCGUCAAAGGAUCAGCAAUAUUAUCCUCGGACUUUACAUGAUCCACUCAAAUAGCCCUAUUAGAGAGAAACCAUCUGAUUGUGCUAUGUUUUCGACGUAUUUGACAUCUUUUACCAUUGAAUAUCGAUUCUUAAUCUUUGCAAUAGUUGCAGUGCAAUCACAAUGAAUGAGAAAUGCUGGUAUAGGUUUUUCCCAUAAUGGAGUGUCGGAUGGUAAAUCUCUAAGCCACCAUGCCUCUUCACUGGCAGUUGCUAAUGCAAUCAUUUCUAGUUCCAUUGUAGAUUGUGCUAAUAUUUUCUGUUUUUUAGACUUCCAUGACACUACAGCUACUGUUAUCUUAAAGAUGUAGCCACUCGUGGCUUUGGAGUUUUUUGGCAGUGUGUUCCAAUUAGCAUCACUAUACCCUUCAAGGACAGCAGGAAAUCUCUCAUAAUUUAAACCAUGAUUAAUGGUCAUCUUGAUGUAACAUCCCACAUCAACCAACGGAGAGAGGGUGAUGUGCCUUAUAUGUACAUACCCACCUCCAUAUAGCACGAGGCCUUUUGGGAGCUCAUUGGCUUCGAGUUCUAUCGGAACUCCAAAGGUAAGCGAGUUCGCACGAGAGCAAUCCCAGGAUGGGUGACCCACUAGGAAGUUCUAGUAUGAUUUCCCAGAAACAAAACCGUAAGGGCGUGGUCGGGGCCCAAAGGGAACAAUAUCGUGCUACAGCAAAGUCAUGCCCGAGAUGUGGUGGAGACAGGGCCUGGAUGUGACAAUUUGGUAUCAAAGCCAAUCCCUGACCAGAAGUGUGCCAACGAGGAUGUUGGGCCCCUAAGAAGGGUGGAUUGUUAGAUCCCACAUCGCCUAGGGGAGUGGAUCCUUUUUGCCUUGUAUGUACAUGCCCACCUCCAUAUCGCACGAGGCCUUUUGGGAGCUCACUGGCUUCAGAUUCCAUCGAAACUCUAAAGUUAAGCGAGUUCGGGCGAGAGCAUUCCUAGGAUGGGUGACCCACUGGGAAGUUCUCAUCUAAGUUCUCAGAAACAAAACCGUGAGGGCGUGGUUGGGGCCCAAAGCAGACAAUAUCAUACUACGGCGGAGCCAAGACUGGGAUGUGGUCGAAUGGUAUCAGAGCCGCUCCGCCGUUCGGUAUGGAUAUGCCGACGAGGAUGUCGAGCCCUUAGGGAGGGUGGAUUGUAACAUCCCACAUCGACCAACGGAGAGGGGGUGAUGUGCCUUAUAUGAACAUGCCCACCUCCAUAUAGCACGAGGCCUUUUAGGAGCUCACUAACUUCAGGUUCUAACGGACAAUAUCGUGCUAUGGCAGAGCCGAGACUGGGAUGUGACAUAAUGGUAUCAGAGCCACUCUGCCGUUUGAUAUGGAUGUGUCGACGAGGACGUUGGGCCCCUAAGGGGGGUGGAUUGUAACAUCCCACAUCGACCAACAGAGAUGGGGUGAUGUGCCUUACAUGUACAUGUCCACUUCGAUAUUGCACGAGGCCUUUUGGGAGCUCACGUGCUUAUCAUUGGGACUGCUUGUAAAUCUGCACAACAUUCCACGACAUAGGCUAUGUCUAGUCUAAUGCAAUCACUAGCAUAACGAAGGCUACCAAUAGUGCUCAUAUAUUCAGGUUAUCUAACACUGUUGCCAGUGUUCUUGAACAAUUUCACACUAGAGUCAUAGGGAGUGCAUGCUGGUUUACAAUCAAAGUAGUUGUACUUCUUUAGAACCUUCUCAAUGUAGUGAGAUUGGUCUAAAUAGAAACCUUUCAUAGACAUAGUAAUCUUGAUCCCAAGGAUUACAUUUGCAUCACCUAGUCUUUCAUAUCAAAGUUAUCACAAAGCAGUUUUAACUUCAUUCACAACAUGCAAAUUGGAUCCAAAUAUCAACAAAUCAUUAACAUACAGACAUAUCAAUGUGCACAGAUUAUUUUCAGACUUUGAAUAGAUACAUUUAUCACUUUCAUUAAUUUUAAAACCUUUAAAGAUAAGUAACCCAUCAAACUUAGCAUGCCAUUGCUUUGGUGCCUGUUUUAAACUAUAGAAAGACUUGUCUAACUUACAUACUUUAUGUUCUUGUUUGGGUAUUACAAAACCUUCAUGUUGUUCCAUAUAUAUCUCUUCUUCUAAGUCACCAUUUAAGAAAGUAGUUUUAACGUCCAUUUGAUGCACAACAAGAUCAUUAAUGGCAGCUAAAGCAAACAAAACUCGAAUUGAAGUUAUUCUCGUGAUUGGUGCAUAAGUAUCAAAGAAAUCAACAUUUUCUCUUUGUCUAAAACGUUUAGCUACUAACCUGGCUUUAAACUUCUCCAUUGUACCAUUGGGGUUUAGCUUUCUUUUUAGCACCCAUUUGCAACCGAUAACCUUGCACCCUGGAGGAAGAUCUACUAAGUGCCAAGUCUUAUUGGAUUCGAGAGAAUCCAUUUCAUCAUUUAUGGCUUCUUGCCAUAAGUCUGCAUCCAACAAGGUCAAUGCUUCUUGAAGAGUUCUUGGAUCUUCUUGCAAAGUAUAAGCAUGAAAGUCUGAACCAAAGUCUUUGGCUACUUUGAUUCUCUUACUUUUCAUUGGCUCAAGGUCAAUUUCAGCCGAAUCAAGUAUAGCAUUUCCAUUAACUCUAGGUGCAUCCAUCAUAAUAGUAUUAGAACCCUUACUAUUUCUUAACUUGAAAGGAAACUUCUCUUCAAAGAAAUCAGCAUCAUUAGAUUCAAUAACAACAUGGUUUUUCAAAUCAUAAAACCUAUAUGCUUUGCUAUUGUAUGCAUAACCAAUGAACACAUUCAAAAGCUCUACUAGCUAGCUUUGAUCUUUUAAGGUUAGGUUUUCUUACAUAGGCCAAACAGCCCCGAGUUCUCAAGUAAGAUACAUUUGGUUUCUUAUUUUUCUAGGUUUCAUAAGGUGGAAUUUUGGUUUUCGAAGAGGGAACCCUAUUGAGUACAUAAUAAACAGUCAAAGUAUUUCACCCCACCAAUAUGAAACACUCCCCGAGUUAAGUAAAAUAGCCACAGUCAGUUCACUAAGUGUUCUAUUUUUUCUCUAAGCUUUGCCGUGUAUUUCUGGGGAAUAAGGAGCAGUGGUUUCAUGUAUUAUUCCUAGUUUCUUACAAAAUUCAGUGAAAGCUCCAGAUUCAUACUCUUGUCCUCUAUCACUUCGCAACCUUUUAAUUUUUCGGUUGAACUGGUUUUCUACUUCACUUAUGAAACAUUUAAACAUGUCUAGGGCUUCACUUUUAUGUUUCAUUAGGUAGACAAACCAAUAGUUUGAAUGAUCAUCUAUGAAAGUUAUGAAGUACCAUUUUCCAUUUCGAGUUACUACACCAUCGAAUUCACAAAUAUCAGAAUGUAUCAGGUCUAGUAAUUCGGUUUUUCUAAGAACUAACCUAUGUGGAGUGAUGCGUAAAAUAUAAGCAGACAAAUUAAACCCUCUUUUUAUCAAAUGUAGUAAAGUAUGUAAGUAGGGAUCGUUCUAGACCGGGGAUUAGGAGGGAUUGCUAAAUCACUUGGAAACUGACUUGAAAACGUAAAAACAAAGUUUAAAACACUAAACUAGACUCAAAGAAUGCAAAACUAUAUUUUAAAAUACUAAGAUAAACAAGAAGACUCAAACAGCACUCAAAACACUUAAAAACAUAAUCUAAGACAAAUUCUAAUUAAUAUGACUCAAAGAAAUAAGAUGGGGUUGAUUUUGGACGAAAAUAAUUAAAUUAAGACAAGAACAAAGUAAACAGAUUCUUAGACAAAUUUGGGUGAAUCAAAACAGAUUGUAAAUGAAUUUGAAUUUAACUUAUGGAUGGAAGGCUAGCUAGGAGGUUCUUCUCCACACAUGUCACACUUGCAUACAAAACGAUUUCCAGUUGCUUUUCGAUAAACUAUGAAUACUCAACGCCCCAAAUUAACCGUGAAUUGCACUAAUUAACCCUCAGUUUUUCCACAAGUUAUUAGGUUGGAUGAUUGCAUACGACAACCCAAAACAUUCCCUACAAGUUCCCUACAUGAAUUGCAUAAUAGAGAUACAAGCAAGAAUCAUUAAGUUCUAUGAAAAACAUAAGCAUUGACGAGGCACUCGUUACUAUGAUUUGCAUGAAACUUAUGCCAAGAAUUUACUUAACGUGAUUGUGACUAGCAACCUUCACUACUUGUGAAUAUAAGUUCAUAACGAUUAGGUGAAACUCCCUUAUAUUCUAGCGUCAAAUUCAUGCAUGAAAAUUAAGCGUGCACUCUCAACCAACAUACACAAAUCAGUUUUUAUACGAAUGGAUAAGUAAAUUGAAUUCACAACUUAUGAAUCACAACUGGAUGUAAUCAAAUCAUAUUGCAAGCAUGAACAUAGUUUCGAAUCACCCCCUAACUAAGAGGGGUUUAGUUCCUCAUACUUACAACGCAAAGAUGCAUAAAUUUAGACAUUAAAAACAAAGAUAGAAAACACCUAGAAACGCUCCAACACUCCCAAGGCUUGGGCAUAGGCACGGCACAAGAUGUUCCUUCUCUUUCCUUCCUUGCAAGCAGCGGCACUAGAGGUUUUGGACGGUUUUUGGUGGUUUUUAUGGUGUAGAAAGGAUGGGGAAUGGUAUGGAAAGGUUUAGGAUUGAUGGGUGGUGUGGCUAGGGGUGGUUUUUGGCUAAAUUUGGAGAGAACAUUUGUUAUGACUUUGAUGAAUAUGGAAGGUGGUAUUUAUAGGCUUGAGAUAGGACCACUCCAUUUCCUUUGCAUGUGAGCUUGUGUGGGUGUGUGUUGGCAUGUUUCCCCUUUACAUUUACACACACAUGCUUCAUCAUUUCAAUCACAAAACACACACAUUUUCUGCCAUGUUUUUCCCUUUACAUUUACACACACAUGCUUCAUCAUUUCAACCACAAAACACACACAAUUCCUUCCACUUUGCCGUGAGUUUUGUAUGUGUAUGCUUCAAUGCUCUUCUCUUUGCCAUGUGUUUGCUUUCUUUGCCAUGUGUUUGCUGCCAUGUUUUCCCCUUUACAUUUACACACACAUGCUUCAUCAUUUCAAUCACAAAACACACACAAUUCCUUCACCUUUGCCAUGAGUUUUGUCUUCACUUUGCAUGUGGGCUUCUUUGCAUGUGUUUUCUCCCUCUCUUGCCUUGAGUUUGCAUGUGGGCUUCUUUGCAUGUGUUUAUCCUUGCAAUUACACACACACACUUGCACACACAUAUGCCCAAAACGUCCAUCCUCAUGCAUGCAAUCCAUUUGAGCCCAAUAUUGAUCCAACAUGCACCAAAAUGCAUUUUUCUUGCCAAGGUUGUUAUGAAGGCCUACAAACAAAUGAAAAUGGCUUUAAACACUAAAAUAACUAUGGAAACACAACGUAAACGCACGAGAACAAGCCAAUUAAGUUGCAUAAAAAUGCUCCUAUCAUGGAGCUUUAGUUAUCUUAGCUUAACUGUAGAACUCACAUUUCUCAAAAUUAUUAAGUGAAAGUUCUGGUAGUAAACCUAAGUUACUCAUUUGUUUUACUAGCCUUUUGUUUACGUGACAAAAUCUUGCAUCCUAAAUAUUAAAUGAACACAACAUGUAAGCAGAAGAAACAAUUUUAUUCAUGGCAUCAGUUGAUGCACAAAACCAGAGAGGUCUUGGAACAAUGUAAAUCCGACCGUGAAUCUGCAAGAAAGUAAAGAACACAAGAUGUAUCGUGGUUCACUCCAAUGUUUGGGCUACGUCCACACUGAUGUUGAUUGUAUUUCUCUGUAAUUGUAUGUAUGGAUUACAAGUGUGAGGGGGAGUCCCCCAGAGAAAUAGAGAGUUUAAGAGAGCUUUGCUCUGAAUAUGAGAGCCUCUAUUUGAGGAUGUGAGGCUUGAGGAUUGUGAGGAUGAAAAGGCCCUUUUAUAGACUAAGGGCUCAUCCCCUUUUACAUAAAUCAUGGGCUCAAUGUCUGGAAGCCCAAGUAACAAGGCUCAAUAUAAUAUGGUACCAACAGUGAUCCCCCAAGUCUUCAGUUAAGAGAGUCUUUUGGCUGGAGACUUGAAAUUCAGACCAUGUGUGGACUGAAGUAACUAGAUGUCGUUUAGAACUAAUACUCGAUAUGAGGCGGGGCUCAAAGUGAAAUAAUGCUCAACUAGAAGUAACACAUGUUGCAAGGUUGCUCGGGUUAUGGCUUAUGUUGCCUUGGUUGGCUUGGCUUGUGGCGUUGAAGGUGAGGGAGUCCAUUUUAUAGAAUAAGGGCUCGCUCUUUAAUACAUAAAUGAUAGGCUAGAGUUGAUGCUCGCGGCGAGGCGGUUGCUCAGCAGGCGGCAAUGCUUUCUAAUGAUGGUGAGAGAGUCCCUUUUAUAGAAUAAGGGCUCGCUCCUUAAUACAUAAGUGAUAGGUUAGAAGUGAUGCUUGUGGCGAGACGGUUGCUCAGCAAGCGGCGAUGCUCUCUAAUGAAGGUGAGGGAUUCCCUUUUAUCGAAUAAGAGUUCGCUUCUCAAUACAUAAGUGAUGGGCUAAGAGUCUCUCUCUAAUGAAGGUGAGGUGUCUCUUUUAUAAAAUAAGGGUUCACUCCUCAAUACAUGAAUAAUGGGUGCUCUCUAAUAAAAGUGAGUGAGUCCCUUUUAUAGAAUAAGGGUUCGCUCUUUAAUACAUAAAUGAUGGGCUAGAGUUGAUGCUCGUGGCGCGGCGAUUGCUCAGCAGACGGCGAUGCUCUCUAAUGAUGGUAAGGGAGUCUCUUUUAUAGAAUAAGGGCUCCCUCCUCAAUACAUAAAUAAUGGGCUAAGUCCCCCAAGUAUUUUUCAUGAGGCCCAGUUGUGGAAGCCCAAUAUAUAAUACAUAGUGUAGUCCCCCAAGUCUUCAGUCAAUAGAGUAUGUUGGCUAAAUACUUCAAAUUCAAUCCAUGUAUGGGCCGAAGUGGCGGUAGUUCGGAGUCGGUCUUUGUAUACCAUGCACUGAAGAUUUGUAGGUGAAGCUUUGAAAGUGAAGCUUUGAAGUUGGAGCUUUUGUAAAUGAAGUUUUUGAAGCUGAUUGACAUGAGUGAUGCUCAUGAAUAUUUAUGUUGAUUAACAUGAGUGAUGCUCAUGGAUGUUGACAUGAAUAUUGACAUGAGUGAUGCUCAUGAAUGUUGACAUGAGUGAUGCUCUUGAAUGUUUAUGUAUGAUUGACAUGAGUGAUGCUUAUGUAUAAUUUUUGGAGUACUGGACGUACUUUUGAUCACCUAUUUGGUGAUAAUAGCGGCAGGGUACCGAAUAAUUUUAGAGUACUGGACGUACUUUUGAUCACCUGGUUGGUGAUAAUAGCGGCGAGCUGCCGAAUAAUUUUGGAGUACAAGACGUACUUUUGAUCACCUGGUUGGUGAUAAUAGAAGCAGACUGUCGAAUAAUUUACUAGACGUACUUUUGAUCACCUAGUGGGUGAUAAUAGCGGCAGGGUACCGAAUAAUUUUAGAGUACUGGACGUACUUUUGAUCACCUGAUUGGUGAUAAUAGCGGCAGACUGCCGAAUAAUUUUGGAGUACUGGACGUACUUUUGAUCACCUGGUUGGUGAUAAUAGAGGGUGAACCUUUAAGUAGAGGGAUGGAGGUUGAAGCCAUAGGGCCUGGCUCUUUUAGGCAUAUGGGUCUUCGCCCUCCACAUAACAUUCCAGCCCAUUAUUUUGGGCUUGCCCUUUUUUUUUUUUUUUUUUUUUUGUGGCAUGCUGCCUUCUUUAUUUAUUUAUGAGCCUCUGUUAAGGUUAUACAGAUGUCUCCAAAAGAUAAGAAAAGUAAAUCACAUCAUUCAAAACAAAGGUUUCGACACAAAAGCUUUGACAGUUGCAGAUCGUUGGUGCGUAAUGGGUUGUUACAGAUCUUUUUCCAUGAGCGUAUUGCUCUUACUGAAUGUUUUACCUUUUCCUUUCUCUUUAUUUUUCUUUCUUUUGGCAGAUGACAGACAAGGGAAUAAUGUCAUUUCCUUGUUUUUGUAGAGGCAGAUCAGGAGAGAUGAGGAUGAGAUAUUCUUCUUUCCUUCUUUUUCCCUUUUUUUUCUACUUUUGCUUUCUUCUUUUGCUUUUGUUUCCCGCUCCAUUUCCAAACAUCCUUUUGGAGGUCAUCAACCCACCUAUGCUUGCAUGCCCCUAAUCCAAACCCUUCAACCCUAGCCCAACACAUCGAGACAUAACUGGCAGUAGGAGAUGGGUGAGGAGAGGUAGAGCGCCUUGUUGAGUCGUUGUAGAGUCAUGUUGAAGGAAAUGUGGACGAGGUUCUGUUCCGACGCGACGUUGGAGCCAGGGAAGUCAAGGAGGGAGUCGACGCAGAGGGAGAGAAAACGCGUCUACGCGUUUGAGAUGGCAUGCGUCUGCUUACAGCGGAGGAUGGAUGAGGCGGCAGGGUUUGAGGCUUUGGAUUUUCAGACGAUGAGUACCACGGCCGAGACGGUGGAGGCGAGGAUGAGUGCCACAGCAAGGAGGAACAUUAGGAUGAGCUUGUUCUUGCGGCUGCGGUCGUUGGAGCAAAAUGAUGAUGUGGCAGUUUGUGGGAGUGAUGAGUUUUCCACCACGUAGAAACUAGGGGAGCCUCUAGGGUCCAACAGCUGGAGUCUACCAUAGCCCAUUUCUCUUUAGGUGCAGAACAUUAAUUCUUCUAGAGAAUUCAUCUAACCAAUCCACAAAACUUUCCUUCUCUGAUGACCCAGAACCAGAAGCAUUCUCCUCACCCUUCUUCUCAACCUUUUUUCUCAUUUUAAUCCCUCUUACAAGACCCAUCAGCGCACAGCCCACAACCACUAAAUCGAAUCAAAACCCAGAAACCCUCCAGCCCCAAACAACAGAAAGAACACAAACCUUUGACAUGUGGGUUUGUGUUUGUUUAGGACAACGUUGCAACACGAGAGAGAGACAUGGGCAUUGCUGCUUUUACUGUUGGCUGCUGAGAGAUCUCGGCCGUUGGUGAGUUGGACGGAGCUUUAUGAAUUAGGGAGGAGAUCUACGGUAGGGAAGUAGGCGGAAGGGCAGAAGGAGCGGUUUAAAAGGCUGGUGAAGAAGAAGGUGGUGGCGACCAAGAGGAGGACUCCGAUCUGGUACGUGCGGGUGUAGAGAGGCUGCUGGUGGUACUGCACACUGAAUGGUCGGUGACAAUAAAUUACGCUUCCCAUUUUCAGGGUGUGGAAAAGAGUAUCUAUCUUCAAGAUCUAGGAAAAUGGUCAUCUCAUGAUGCAAUUGGAAAAGUCUUGGACAUGACCUGACCAUCUUUGAGAUAUGGGUUGCAGAGAAUCUAUGGCUUCUGAGAAAGGGCAAAAAGUAGUCUAUAUUUAGAGACAUGAAAAGACGCGGUGGUAGCUGUGUUGUUGAGAGAGAGAUGGAAACUGCAAUUUCAGAGAAGGUGCAGAUGACGGAGAGAGAGAAAUGGAAAUGGCGGAGAGCUGGAGGUUUCCGAGAUGGCUGACAAACAUGGUGUGAUAGGAGCAUAUUUAUACGACUUAGUUAGCUUGUUUUCUUGCUUUUAAUUAGCUAAACUAUGAUAAUUAUAGUGUUUAAAGUUAUUUUCGUGCAAUUUCAGGUUUUAGUGUCAAAGUAUGCAAAAAGAAGCAAUUUGGAACAUUCUAGAGCAUUUUUGGGCCAAGAUUGGAUUGUGCAAGCAUGGAGGCAUGAGGAUGGACGAAUUUGAAGACAAAAGAGGCUAUGAACAUGCUAAAAAUCUGGUGAAACAAAUAUAAGUUGCAAGAAGGGAUAAAUUUCUAGAAGGAUUGACCAAAACUUCACUCAAAACCAAGAAAUUCUUCAAUGCCGUGGGCAUUGAUUCACUUUCACCAGAAAUUUGAGUGAUGAUGCAAUGCUUAAAUCACCAUGACAUGUGAGUGGAUGAUGCAAUGCUUAACUCACCAUGACAUGUGAAUGGAUGACUCAAUACCUAACCCACAAACAAUUCCCACUCUUUGCCAUGCUCACCUACUCAAUUCCACCAAAAUUUUGUGUUAAACAAAUCCAUCCUUUUCCUAUAAAUACCAUGGCAACAACCUCAUUCAAAUCAUCCAGAAAUUAACCAUUCUCCAAGCCUUUCCUUGCCUCUCCUACAUAUCUAAACCCCUUCCCAUCCAUUCCUCCAAAUAACCAACCCUUCAACAUCAUUCCAACCUUGUUGUUGCGGCAAGGAGAAGGAGAAAAGUCCUUGGACGCGCUUGCUAUCCAACAUGGAUCAUUGGAACGUUUAGGUGCUUUCUUCCCUUUGUUUUUCAAUGGUUAAAUUUGUUUAUCUUUGUUUUGUAAUAAUGAGGAACUAAACCCCCCUUGGCUAGGGGGGAUUCGAAACCAUGUUAAUGCUUGCAAUAUGAUUUGAUUACUUUUAAUUGCGUUUCAUAAGUUAUGAAUUCGAUUUACUUAUCUAUUUGAUUGAUAACAUGUUUAUGUAUGUCGAUUAAGAAUGCAUACUUAAUUUACAUGCAUGAAUUUGAUGCUAGAAUAUAAGUGAAUUUCACCUAAUCGUUAUGAACUUAUAUUCACAAGUAGUGAAGGUUGUUAUCCACAAUCGUGUUAAGUGAAUUCUAGGCUGGAUUAACAUGCGUAUUCUAUAGUUAUGAAUGCCUAGUCAAUGUUUAUGAUUUCCGUUGAACUUAAUGAUCUUUGUUGAAUGUCUCUAUCAUGCGUAUUCCAUAGUUAGGGACUUUGAUGAGGAAUAAUUUGGUUGUAAUGCGUAUUCCAUUCAAUCCAAUGAAUCUAGGGAAAUCUAAGAGUUAAUUUAAGCGGACCUAAUUAACUUGGAACAUUGUCAUUCACAAUUUAUUGAAAGAACAACUGAAAAUCAAUUUAGGUUGCAUAUGUGUCAUGUGUGGAGAAGAACCCUCUAGCUAGUCCGUCACCUAUCCUUUCACCUUAAUUUCAUGCUUUUGUCAACUCUGUAAUUUAUUUAAGUUUAAUUUACUUCUCGUCAAAACCAAACCCCCCCAUUAUUAAAUUAUAUUAUUUAGUUAGUUUUCAUUGUUGUUAGUCUUUUAAUUCAAUUUCCGUCCAUUUCAGUUCCUAGUGUCUAAUUUGAUUGUUUUCAUUAUUUUGAGUCAUUCUAAGUGUGUUUCAAGUUAUUAGAGUUUUUAGCCUAGUUUUGUGUCCUUGAGUCUUAUUUAAUAUUUUUAAUAGAUUAGCAAUCCCUCCUAAUCCCCGGCCUAGAACGAUACCCUACUUACAUCUAUACUACAAUUGUCAAAAAGAGGGUUUAAUUUGUGUGUCAAAUAAUUCUCACAUCAAAUUUUGGCGCCGUUGCCGGGGAUUAGCAACUUUUCUAAUCCCCCAUUGUUUCUUUUUAUUUCUUUUUCGUGUCUUUUGUUUUAGUUACUGACUUUGUUUCUUUUCUUGUCUUAUGUUUUUAGUUUCUGUUUUUGUUUUGUUUUGUUUAUUUUACUUUUGAUAUUUGAUUUAGUUUUCUUUCUUUGAUUUUAGGUACUAGAGAAGUAAGACAUGGAUUUUGCUAGCAUUCAAGCUCAAUUGGCAAAUCUUACUUCUCAAAUGUCGCAGUAUGCCGAAAGGACCACAAUGCAAAAUGUCCCUAUAUUUGGUGCAUCUUAUAGGCAAGGAUAUCAAGCCAAUCAAUGUUCACAAAAAGAUUGGAGUGAUCAUUCAAACUCUAUGUGGUGGGAAGCUCAACAAGUUCAACAUGAAGGAUAUUGGCAACCAUAUGAGGAGUUCUAUUCAGGACCUAUGCAGCCACUACAACCUCAUAUACAAUAUGCCCAAUCAAACUCAGAUUCGUCAAUAGAUUACAAUCAAAUUUUUGAUGAAUUAAAUUCUUUGGUGCAGGGCUCACAAAAUCAAGCCAAGGAGGCUCAACAAGAUGGAUAUUGGCAGCAAUCUGAGGAGUUUUAUUUAACGCCUAUGCAUCCACCACCGCAUACCCCACAACAAUUCCAAUCAAAUUCAAGUAUGUCCAUGGAUAGUGAUCAAAUUCUUCAAGUACUAAUCUCUUUGACGCAGGACCAACAAAAUCAAGACAAGAAGUUGGAUAAAUUGAUGAGUCAAAUGGGAGAGAUUAUGGAAUUCAUGGUACAAAUUCAAGAGCAAAGUGAACUCUCCAGCUCAACUGUUGAAAAUUCGAAGGAAGAUUUUGAAAUCCACGAUGCUAUCACUUUGGAAGGUGACAUGAAGGAUGAAGCUGUCCCAGAACUAUCCAAACACAGCCCGAACAUGGAUGAAUUGCUGCUGCAAGCAGAAGAGGAGGAGGACGACCUGGGCAGUUUAGAAGAAUUCUUGCUGCAAGCUCCUCAAAUCCCUAUGUCAUCCAACUCAUGUGAGGAAGUUCUAAAUUCACUUCAUUCUAACAUUAUUCCACUGAACGUCCUUUAUCCUUGCAGGUUUUUUAUUCCAAAUAUCAAAGAGAGUGAAAAAGACAUUGUGGAAGCUCUUCCAAAGGUGCAAAGUGAUAUCCCAAUUCUUGGUGCACCAAAACAAGUUCCCGAUGGUAUUGAAACGUUCAAAGAACCUUGCACACCAAGAAAAGGGAUUCAAGAAAAUGAAGUGGUUGAAGCAUAUCAAGAAUACAUCCAAGAGGCUGUGCAUGAGACAAUCAAGCCCAAAGCAGUUGAGUUUGAUGACACGGGAUAAGCCACAACCAUCAUAGUAAACCUGGCCAAGUUCAAAGUCCCGGAAAUGUUCAAAAAUGUGGUGUUUGUCAUUGAGUUUGUGUCGGAAAAAGAAAGUAAGCCAUCUUCUCCAAUUUUAAUUUUAAUUUAUACUAACAUGUUUCUGAUUUUGAUGAUUCAGGCACCCACUCUUGAAUUUAAACCAUUGCCGAAUCAUUUCAAGUAUCACCUCCCAUUAAAAGAUAAAUUCCAUGCAUUGGAGCCGAGGGGAGUUUAAAGGAAAGAUUCGUCCGGCUAAAGACGUUAAAUCAAGCGCUUCUUAGGAGGCAACACAAGCAUUCAACGAAGGGAGACUUUGGAAUCGCUAGCCAAAUCAGAUUGCAUUCUUACACCCUUAUCUUUACUGCUUUCAUUUUGUUUUGUUCAGUUAGUUGUGUUAUUUGGUUGAUUUCUGUGAGUUUGUGUUAUUUAGUUUAAGUGUGGGGGCAGGUUAAACAAAGUCUUUUUACAUUAAUUUACAUAUUUAAUAAAAAUAAAUAAAUAAAUAAAAUAAAAUAAAAUAAAAACACUUAAAAAAAAAAACAUAAAAGUAAAAAUAUUUUACAAUGAUGUGUAAACUAAUAGCAUUCAUUGGUCAGGUGGUGCUUCAGUAGUCGGCGGAGCUUCAGCAGUCGGUGGGACCACGGAAGGAGGAGGUAUCGGAGGUUGAUCAGUUGGAGCUUCACUACGCGGUGCUGCCCCAGAAGACGAAGGCAGAUGCGGUUGGAACAAACCCACAAACCUUCGGUGAUCAAGUAAAAUCUGACCAUCAUUUUCCUGCAGCUGGUUAAUUUUCCUCUUCAUGUUUGUGGCAUAACUGUGUGCAAGCUUAUGCAAUUGUUUAUUUUCAUGCUUGAGUCCUUUAAUCUCCUCUUUGAGACUCUGUAUUUCAGCCACCAACGAUUCAACGUGACGGGUUCGAGCAAAUAGGCGUUGGGCCAUGUUGGACACAGAACCCGCACACUGCACGCUAAGAGCCAGAGACUCCUUAACCGCCAAUUCAUCAGACCGUCUAGCGAGCAGUCUGUUAUCUCUGGGGGUGACAAGGUUCCGGGCCACCACCGCAGCUGUCAUUUCAUUUUUCAUCACCGAAUCCCCCACGGUAAGGGGACCGGUAGGGGAUAUGAAGGAUGGGCGCCAUAUGUUGUCUGGUGAAGGCGGAGCUGCCUCUUCACCAAUGUUCAAGUCAAAACGACGAUCGGAAGGGCCAGACAUUUUUCAGAAUGGUAAAGAAAGAAGAGAUCGGACAGAUUAAGAUUUUGGAAGUGCAAGAAGGGAGUGUUUACAGGAGAGAGCUCAAGUGUGUUGUGGAACAAAAUUAACGCCUCUAUAAAAAGAAGAAAUCAAAGAGGCGCUCCUCAGAAAUCGAAGAAGCGUCAUUUCGCAAAUCGAAGAGUCGGGGCUCCUUUCUCAAAAGUCGGAUUCUUUUCUCAAAAGAGGCGUUUCAUUUCUUAAAGGCUGGGCUUGCUUAGAAACCACGAGCCGAACCCCGGAUUUCAAAAGAUCAAUUUGUCCAGACGUGUUGUCACUCGUCACAUGCAACUGGCAGCUUUGCGGAAAUUACGGGCAGCUUUGUCAGAAAGCGCAUAAUAUGUACUAUUCAUUCAUCCACCGGCUGCCGACAAUGAGUGAGAGAAUAGUUCCGGUUGUGAAGAAAAGUCCCAUAAGUAUCUACCUUCGCCUUCCCACAGCAAAGGCACACCCUUUCAACACUUCUUCAUCUCCGAGAAUGUAUUCCCAAAGAAACCUUUCAAGUCACUCUGUAUUUUUCAUCCCUUGGGGUACCUCUGCAAACAACCCAUCCAAAGCAAAAGUAUUUCAUAUCAUGAAGGUUGAAAGCAAGAGUAUCUCAUAUCAUGCUUUCUCCCUGUCCUUUCUCCAGCCAGCUCUUGCUCUCGAGUACUCAUCAUCUUAUGCUUUCUCUUUGUUUCUCACUUAUAAGGGAAGUGAAGAUGAUACCUCGAAGCAUGUGGAGACAACGUGCUGAUUCAUCCUCAACUAAGGACAAGGAGAAAGAGAGCAAGAGGUGGGCACUUGGAAAGAUUGAAGAAAGAAACAGACCAACACCUCUCACUCGUGCCUGCCCGUCGUGCAGAAGAAACAAGCAGAGAAGAAUGCAGCUUGCACAAUCAUCCCAGCAGAAGGAGUCUGAGAUGAAGAACUAGAGAAGCUGCCACAUCUGCUUGGAGAACAAAUAAGGAACUGCAACAUCACCAAAGAGCAAAGCUUCGCCGUACAAUAUCAUCAAAUCAUCACUUGCAAGUAAAAAGCUAAGUGUCACCCCCGUUCAAGAGGAAAGCUGUGGAAAGUCAACAAGCACGACCAAUGAUCACUUAUUAGUUCUAUUCAUUGUCUUUUAUCGUGAUUUUCAAUUUUUCGUUUGCAAUUUUUUUUACAUUUUCUUGCCUUACUUAACUGAAUUAUUUCUUUUCUUUGCAGGAAUUUUUGGUUAUUUCCACCCUUGAAGUUGAUUGCAGAAUUUUAGCUUGGGGGGUCAUCGCUUGGUUUUACUGCAAACUAGGGAAGUUUUCAGUCCAAUUGCUUUAUUUUGUUUCUUAUUAUUUAUUUAUUUUAUUUUUAUUUGCAUUAUAGUGUUUUCUGACAUUGGGGACAAUGUCCAGUUUAAGUUUGGGGGUAAAGAGUAUAAAAAUGACCAAAUUGAAAUUUUUUUUUUUUUGUACCUUCAACUACGAACGAGUUUCAUUUGUUUCCAUGUUGUUGCUUUUUGUUUUCUUAAUUAGUUUUGUUUUCUUUAAAAAAAAAAAUUUAAAAAAAAAUCGGAAAUUUUAAAAAAAAUCCAAAAAUAUUGUCUUGUUUCCCUUAUUGUUUUGAAUUAGAUUUUUGUUAGUUUCCCGACCCAAUGAUAUAAUUGGAUCAAAUUUGAACCAUGAUCAUCAAGAACUUAGUUAACAUGUGUUUUGUGAAAUUCCUAAUUCUCUUGUUAGUUUUGUACAUGUUUGACCAUCUUUGAAAAACCAAAUGCACAUAGCCUUGUUAAUGUGAAACUAAAGUAUGACUUAAAGCUUCAUAUGUGAAUUUAGUGACCAUAUACAUCCUAUGUGAGUUUUUGAGCCGAUUGAAAGUGUGUGCAUUUUUCAUACACUCCUAUUCUUUCAUGUGUGAUGAACUUAUGUGAGAUACAUCUCUAGAACUUGCGUAACGAUCUUUCGAAAUGUUUGUCAUUGAUUGCAUGAAUUUGGAAAUGAUAGAGGCAUUAGGUUUACCACUAUGGCCCAAAUAACCAUGUUUCCCAAAGAAAAAUGAUAUAAUUAGAUUGCCAAUUUGAGCCGUGUACGUUGAGCCUUUUAUUUCUUAUCACCAGAUAUGUCUACCCUUAUACCUGAAACAUUUUUCCUUACCCUUUCCAAGCGAGCAAUGCGAGAUUGUCUUAUGAGAAAUGUUUGUGAAGUACUUUGAAGGUGUUUGGCAAAAGAAUAAAUGUGGGGGUGUUUCAUGUUUGUAUUUAAAAAAAAAAAAAAAAAAGAGAAAAAAAAAAAGAAAAGAAAAAGAAAGAUUGUAUACAAAGAAAAUAAAAAGUUUUUCAAGUUUCAGUUAAGGGUGUGGUUGGAGGUGCUAGAAGAAUCGCUGGAAAGAUGGAAAGAUUGAGUUCUUAUAAAUCUAAACAAAAGAAUUGCUUGCAAUGUAGCUUGGAACUUGUGUUUUCCUAUUCUUUCGUUUCAAUAACCCUAUCCCUAAGCCUCAUUACAUCCAAUAAAAGUCCUCUUGAUUUAAGUUUUGCAAUUAUGACUGUGGAGAAGUGAUCUUUAUGCAAGCUUAUGGUAGAAAUUCACAUUUGAUUCUUUGAGCGAAACACAUUUAAACUAAACACAUGUGUGAUUGAGUGUAUAUCCCGUGAGAAGGUUGCUAGUUUUCAUAUGAUGAUUUUAAAAAUAAAAAAAUAAAAAAAAAUUUUGAAAUUGCAUUAGCAUGGCUAUCUCACACACUACACUUCAAGGAUGAUUUAAAGAUUACUGCUAAUAUUUGAAUAAGGAAGAUGAACUUGGAUUAGCUUGUUUGGUGCUAGCUAUGAUUCUUGUUGAUUUGUGUUCUCAAAUGAAAUUCUAUGAGGGUCACAUAGGGGGAAGCUAAUGUUUUUCUUGUUACUACUUGUUCUUGUUUUCUUUGUUUUGCUCGAGGACUAGCAAAAGCUAAGUGUGGGGGAAAUUGAUAGGAGUAUAUUUAUACGACUUAGUUAGCUUGUUUUCUUGCUUUUAAUUAGCUAAACUAUGAUAAUUAUAGUGUUUAAAGUUAUUUUCGUGCAAUUUCAGGUUUUAGUGUCAAAGUAUGCAAAAAGAAGCAAUUUGGAACAUUCUAGAGCAUUUUUGGGCCAAGAUUGGAUUGUGCAAGCAUGGAGGCAUGAGGAUGGACGAAUUUGAAGACAAAAGAGGCUAUGAACAUGCUAAAAAUCUGGUGAAACAAAUAUAAGUUGCAAGAAGGGAUAAAUUUCUAGAAGGAUUGACCAAAACUUCACUCAAAACCAAGAAAUUCUUCAAUGCCGUGGGCAUUGAUUCACUUUCACCAGAAAUUUGAGUGAUGAUGCAAUGCUUAAAUCACCAUGACAUGUGAGUGGAUGAUGCAAUGCUUAACUCACCAUGACAUGUGAAUGGAUGACUCAAUACCUAACCCACCAACAAUUCCCACUCUUUGCCAUGCUCACCUACUCAAUUCCACCAAAAUUUUGUGUUAAACAAAUCCAUCCUUUUCCUAUAAAUACCAUGGCAGCAACCUCAUUCAAAUCAUCCAGAAAUUAACCAUUCUCCAAGCCUUCCCUUGCCUCUCCCUACAUAUCUAAACCUUCCCCAUCCAUUCCUCCAUAUAACCAACCAUUCAACCACCAUAACCACCUUGUGCCGCCACCAUUGAAGGAGAGGAGGAGUAGUGCCGUGCUUAUGCAAUCUGCAACUAUUAGAGUGUUUGGAAUUCUUUCUUCUUUUAAUUCUAUGUUCAUGUUUAAUUUAACUUGCUGUUCAAUUAUGUUAAACAUGUGGAACUAAUUUCUUUUUGGCUAGAGGUUAAUUCAAAGCCAUGAAUAUAUUUGUAAUAUGAAUUGAUUACCUUCAGUUGUGAUUUCUGAGUUGUGAUUUAAUUUGCUUAACUGCUUGAUUGAUAACUUAUUUUUGUAUGUCGAUUAAGAAUGCAUACUUAAUUUACAUGCAUGAAUUUGAUGCUAGAAUAUAAGUGAAUUUCACCUAAUCGUUAUGAACUUAUAUUCACAAGUAGUGAAGGUUGUUAUCCACAAUCGUGUUAAGUGAAUUCUAGGCUGGAUUAACAUGCGUAUUCCAUAGUUAUGAAUGCCUAGUCAAUGUUUAUGAUUUCCGUUGAACUUAAUGAUCUUUGUUGAAUGUCUCUAUCAUGCGUAUUCCAUAGUUAGGGACUUUGAUGAGGAAUAAUUUGGUUGUAAUGCGUAUUCCAUUCAAUCCAAUGAAUCUAGGGAAAUCUAAGAGUUAAUUUAAGCGGACCUAAUUAACUUGGAACAUUGUCAUUCACAAUUUAUUGAAAGAACAACUGAAAAUCAAUUUAGGUUGCAUAUGUGUCAUGUGUGGAGAAGAACCCUCUAGCUAGUCCGUCACAUAUCCUUUCACCUUAAUUUCAUGCUUUUGUCAACUCUGUAAUUUAUUUAAAUUUAAUUUACUUCUCGUCAAAACCAAACCCCCCCAUUAUUAAAUUAUAUUAUUUAGUUAGUUUUCAUUGUUGUUAGUCUUUUAAUUCAAUUUCCGUCCAUUUCAGUUCCUAGUGUCUAAUUUGAUUGUUUUCAUUAUUUUGAGUCAUUCUAAGUGUGUUUCAAGUUAUUAGAGUUUUUAGCCUAGUUUUGUGUCCUUGAGUCUUAUUUAAUAUUUUUAAUAGAUUAGCAAUCCCUCCUAAUCCCCGGCCUAGAACGAUACCCUACUUACAUCUAUACUACAAUUGUCAAAAAGAGGGUUUAAUUUGUGUGUCAAGUAAUUCUCACAUUAUGGUGGUAGCUGUGUUGUUGCCAAAGUUGCAGAUGAUAGUCAAGGCAAUGGGUCUUUGUCUCUGUCUUUAAAUUAGGCAGUUUUUUGGGAGAAAAAUAGGGCGGAAGAUUCGAGAAAGAGAAAAAUGGGUUUUUGGAUGGUUUUUUAAAACUGCACAGAGUCUGCGAAGGUUUUCUGGAAAAGCCCAAAGAGUGAGGUUUUCUAGGUUUUUGGGUUUCUGCAGUUUCCCGGUGGUGAGAUGAAAAAAAUGAAAGAGAACCGACAUAGUUUUUCGUGUCGAUUUCCCACAGACAACGCCAAAUGUUGAUGCACAAAACCGUAGGGGUCUUGGAACGUAAAUCCGACCGUGAAUCUGCAAGAAAGUAAAGAACACAAGAUGUAUCGUGGUUCACCCCAAUGUUUGGGCUAUGUCCACACUGAUGUUGAUUGUAUUUCUCUGUAAGGGGGAAUCCCCCAGAGAAAAAGAGAGUUUGAGAGAGCUUUGCUCUGAAUAUAAGAGCCUCUAUUUGGGGAUGUGAGGCUUGAGGAUUGUGAGGGUGAGGAUGCCCUUUUAUAGACUAAGGGCUCCUCCCCAUUUACAUGAAUCAUGGGCUCAAUGUCAGGAAGCCCAAGUAACGAGGUCCAAUAUAAUAUGGUACCAAUAGCAUCAAUAUUCAAUUUGAACAUCCCAUCAAUGGCAUACUCAUUUCCCACAAAAACAUCAUUCUUUGUGAGAGUAUACAUAUCAGCCCCAAUAGUUUGAGUGAAUCUAGCAUUGUUGAUUAGAUAACCUGAAACCAGGUUCUUUCUUAUUUCUGGAACAUGCAGUACAUCUUUUAGAAUGACAGUCUUCCUCGAGGUGAAUUUUAGCUCUACUUCACCAGUUCCAGCAACAUUCGUUGAGUGAGAGUCUCCCAACAAAACCCUUAUGUCCUCAGCUUCAGAAUAGGACUUAAAAAGUCUGCGAUCAUGGCAGACAUGGCGCGAAGCUUCAGUGUCUACCCACCACCCCUCGGAUCCGUCAACUAUGUUAACCUCUGAUAUCAUAGCAAUGAGUUGAUCCUCAGUCAGAUUAGCUUGAUGAGUAAUCCGACGUUUGUUGUGACAGUUCCUAGCCAAGUGCCCAGGUUUGUCACAGUUGUAGCACAAAAAAUGGCACAACGGCUUCAUCUCAUGAGGGGGUACCUUCCUAUUCUAACUUUGCUGAGGAUUUUGGAAGUUUGGUCGAUUUUUGUUGUUGUUGCGAUUCUUGGUGGAAUUCUUUAUAUUCUUACCCAUGGGUUUGAGCACUACUGCUGCAUAAGUCCUCGAAUGAGUCUUCUUGAGAUUGUUGUUGUUUGAAACAACCAGCACUUCCUCCCUCAUAUCUUGUUUCCUGGCUUCUUCCUCGAUUUGAAGGCGAGUGAUUAGGCUUUCCAGUGAGAAUUCCUUUGUCUUGUGCCACAGAUCCUUCUUGAACUCCUUCCAACUUGGUGAGAGCUUGUCUAUGAUCACAGCAACCUGCAACUGUUCAUCCAGAUUCAUGCCCUCAUUGAUGAUCUCAUGAGCAAUCUUUUGCAGUUCGUGUGAUUGCACUUCCAUUGAUUUGUCAUCCAUCAUUUGAAACUUCAUGUAGCGGCUGACUACAAAUUUCUUUGCUCCUGCUUCUUCAGUGUCGUACUUUUUCUAGAGAGCAUCAUAUAGUUCUUUAGCUAUCUUACGAGAAUAGUAGUAAUCAUAUAGGUCAUCACAUAAUCCAUUCAAGACAUAAUAUUUACAGAGAAAGUCAAUAUUAGUCUAGGAUUGAAACAACUUGAACUGUUCAGCAGUGGGUUGAUCAAGAUGUGAUGGCGUUUCAGACAUGCAGUGGGUGGCAAGUUUCUUGGUGGUUAGAAAAAAUAACAUCUUUUGCCUCCAACGUUUGAAGUAGAUUCCUUCAAACUUGAUAGGUUUGUUCAGAUCAUUAGUAAAAGUGUUGUUUUCAUUCUCCAUUGCAGAAAUUGAACGUCUUAAAAUUGUUAGAGUUGCUACACAAUAAAACAGGAACAAUAUUACCGGAGUAUGAAGAACAUAAAAUGAAAAUCUGUCUUGGGUUGAGUCGUAGACAAUGUCACUUUCUUUAAGACGUUUCGCGGCUCUGCCCAAUGUGUGUAAGCAGUUCAAAUAACACCACAUCAUCCCCAGGAUAAAACAGCCCAAAAUCUCUCUGUCUAGACCUUCCUUUGCACUGAGGAAGAUCCGAAAACACUCACCCUCUAGUUGCUCAGAAUACUCAGUGUUAUUAGCUAGGUUUUUUUCAGUUUUUUUUUUUUUUUUUGUGUGUCGACUAAAGAGAGGUCCUCAAAUUUAUAUAGAAAAACCAAAGUUUAACGUUGAAGAGGUUGAGGGAAAGGUGGCCUAAGAAUACAACAACAACAACAACAAAGCCUUUUCCCACUAAGUAGGGUCGGCUAUAUGAAUCCUAGAACGCCAUUGCGCUCGGUUUUGUGUCAUGUCCUCCGUUAGAUCCAAGUACUCUAAGUCUUUUCUUAGAGUUUCUUCCAAAGUUUUCCUAGGUCUUCCUCUACCUCUUCAGCCCUGAACCUGUUUCCCGUAGUCACAUCUUCGAACCGGAGCGUCAAUAGGCCUUCUUUGCACAUGUCCAAAUCACCGGAACCGAUUUUCUCUCAUCUUUCCUUCAAUUUUGGCUACUCCUACUUUACCUCGGAUAUCCUCAUUCCCAAUCUUAUCCUUUCUCGUAUGCCCACACAUCCCACGAAGCAUCCUCAUCUCCGCUACACCCAUUUUGUGUACGUGUUGAUGCUUCACCGCCCAACAUUCUGUGCCAUACAACAUCGUUGGCCUUAUUGUCGUCCUAUAAAAUUUUCCCUUGAGCUUCAGUGGCCUACGACGGUCACACAACACGCCGGAUGCACUCUUACACUUCAUCCAUCCAGCUUGUAUUCUAUGGUUGAGAUCUCCAUCUAAUUCUCCGUUCUCUUGCAAGGUAGAUCCUAGGUAGCGAAAACGGUCGCUUUUUGUGAUCUUCGCUAGAUUGCUCCGGUCAUUAGUGUGGAUAAGUAUAUAAAUGGAUAGAGAUAGGAAAGCAAACACAAGAUGUACGUGGUUCACCUAGAUUGGCUACGUCCACGGAAUAGAGGAGUUCUCAUUAAUUGUGAAGGGUUUACACAAGUACAUAGGUUCAAACUCUCCUUUAGUGAGUACAAGUGAAUGAUUUAGUACAAAUGACAUUAGGAAAUAUUGUGGGAGAAUGAUCUCGUAAUCACGAAACUUCUAAGUAUCGGAGUGUGGUAUCGUCUUGAUUUGCCUUAUCUGUCUCAUAGGUAGAUGUGGCAUCUUCUUUGGAAGUACUCUUCCUCCAUCCAGGGGUGGUAUCUUUAACUGGUGGAGAUGCACAAGGUAAUGUAUCAAUUUCACUUGAAGCUUACUUGUAGUUUCAGGCUUGGUCAAGCGCGAUACAAACCAUGUAGUAGGAGUCCCCCAAGUCGCCGAGCUAGGGGAUCUGCUGAAAGAGUUGACAGACAAGGUAAGCAAUCAGAGCUCCGGCUGAUUGUUCACAUUCUCCCUAUCUUGCAGGCAGCAUGAAGGAUAAAGAGAAGAAAAAUGAGAAGAGAUGAUAUGGGAUACUUUUGCUUUUGAAGAAGUAACUUUCCACAGGCUUAUUCAUAAACUGAGCUGGAAGGUUUUCUGGUUUCCUCCAGAGUAUAAGGCCGACUGAAAAAUUUGAGGGUCAAAACAAGUCCAUCAAAUCUAAAGUACGUUCGACCCUGCUGAUAUGGGAUACUUUUGCUUUUGACAGAAUAGUGGAUGUAUCGGCACGUGUGCUGUUACGCUUGUCUCCACAUGCUUCCUUGUAUCCUUCUCACUUGCCCUAUCUGUUCCUCAGGCAGAUGCGGUAUCUUCCCUGGAAGCAUAAGAUGUUGAAAAUGAGUACUCGAGAGCAAUGCCAGGUAAGUAAUCAGGUAAGGGGUUCCAGGCAGUCAGUUCCUGGCUGUAAGCUUGAUUCCAAGUGCUGACUGAUUGCUCUUUUUCUCCUUGUCUUGCAGGUAAGAACAAGGCCAAAGGAAAAGACAGGGAAAAAACAUGAUAUGGGAUACUCUUGCUUUUAACCCUGAUGAUAUGAGAUAUUCUUGCUCUAGUAUAGCUUGUUUGCAGAGGUAUUAUCGGGGGGAAAGAAAGCUGAAUAUUUCGAAAGGCUUCGUUGGGAGUGCCCUCUCAGAUAUGAGGAAGGGUUGAGCAUUUUUGCAGGUCUGCCUGUUCGUUGGGGAUGGAGGUCUACAUAUAUAGGAGUCUCCCUAACAACAAGUAGUAAUGUUAUUCCUUUACCCUGCUUGGUCAUAGCACGGUAGUGGGAGCUGCCAACUUCACAUGUUUUAACUCUGUCAGAACACUUUGAAAAAGUGGUAUGUGGUAUCUGGAAAGCUGAUGUUGCGUAUGAAGAUUACAGACAAGCUUUAUCCAAGGAGAUCCGGCUUUUGAAGUUGGGAAAAUGGUGCCUCUUCGGUUUUCGAACAAGCAAUCCUAUCGGGGAUCUGGCUCUCGAGAUUCAGAGAACGAUGCCUCUUCGAUUUUUUAGAAAGCAAUCAUGCUGGGGGUCUGGCUCUCGAGAUUCGGAGAGCGGUGUCUCUUCGAUUUUUGAGAAAGUAAUCAUGUUGGGAGUCUGGCUCUCGAGAUUCGGAGGGCGAUGCCUCUUCGCUUUUGGAGCAAGCAAUCUUGUUGGGAGUGUUUUCUCGAAUGUGAGUAAAGGUUGGGCAUGUUUGCUAGUCUACCUUGCCACGAAGCACAGAGGUUGACAAACAGGGACUUUCCAAUUAUCCAGCAAUGGUACUGUUCCUUUACCCUCUCUUCGAUUUUUGAGAAGGUAGUCAUGUUGGGAGUUUGGCUCUCGAGAUUCGGAGGACGGUGCCUCUUCGAUUUUGGAGCAAGCAAUCUUGUUGGGAGUGUUUUCUCGAACGUGAGUAAAGGUUGGGCAUGUUUGCUAGUCUACCUUGCCACGAAGCACAGAGGUUGACACACAGGGACUUUCCAAUUAUCCAGCAGUGGUACUGUUCCUUUACCCUUGUGGGUAAUAAUAUGGUAGCUAGACCUUCAAAAUUUAUGUGUCUAAACUUUGUUAGUGUUGUUUCUUUGUUAUUCUUUUACCCUUCUUGGUCAGAGCGAUGUAGUGGGAGCUGCAAGCUUCACGUGACUCAACUUUGGCAGAGAACUUUGGCAAAGUUAUCUGUGGUACCCAUGAGCUACUGUUGCGCGUGGGUUGAACAGUAAGAUUCAUGUGCUUUCUACUUCACCAGUAGUCUUCGACAGAAUGCCCAUAAUUUCCGCAAAGCUGAGUAUGCGUGUGACAGGUGCUGACAAGGCUGGAAAAGUAGGUGCCUCUUCGAUUUCUGAGAUCGGCCCUCGUGGUCUCUGAGCAGCCCAGCUUUUGAGAAAGCAAGCGCCUCUUCGAUUUCUGAGAUCGGUCUUCGUGGUCUUUAAACAGCCCAGCUUUUGAGAAAGCAAACGCCUCUUCGAUUUCUGAGAUCGACCCUCGUGGUCUCUGAGCAGCCCAGCUUUUGAGAAAGCAAACGCCUCUUCGAUUUCUGAGCAGACGCCUCUUUGAUUUCUGAAGCUCCGUCGAGUGCAGAUUUUUAUAAGGGCUGGCAUUAAGUUCCAAAGCACACUUGAAUCUCCACCAGUAGAAGCUCCAUUCUUGCACUUCUAAGAUCUUGAUUUGUCCGACCUCUUCUCUCUUCAACACCUUUGAAAAUGUCUGGCCCCUCCGACCGUCGUUUUGACUUGAACCUUAUUGAAGAGGCAGCCCUGCCUUCUCCAGACAACAUAUGGCGCCCAUCCUUCGUCUCCCCUAUUGGUCCUCUUACCGUUGGGGAUUCCGUGAUGAAGAAUGAUAUGACCGCUGCGGUGGUGGCCAAGAACCUUCUCACUCCCAAAGAUAACAGACUACUUUCUAAACGGUCUGAUGAGUUAGCUGUUAAGGAUUCUUUGGUUCUCAGUGUUCAGUGUGCAGGUUCUGUGUCUAAUAUGGCCCAACGCCUAUUUGCUCGAACCCGCCAAGUUGAAUCAUUGGCGGCUGAAGUGAUGAGUCUCAAACAGGAGAUUAGAGGGCUCAAGCAUGAGAAUAAACAGUUGCACCGGCUCGCACAUGACUAUGCUACAAACAUGAAAAGGAAGCUUGACCAGAUGAAGGAAUCUGAUGGUCAGGUUUUACUUGAUCAUCAGAGAUUUGUGGGUUUGUUCCAAAGGCAUUUAUUGCCUUCGUCUUCUGGGGCUGUACCGCGUAAUGAAGCUCCAAAUGAUCAAUCUCUGAUGCCUCCUCCUUCUAGGGUUCUGUCCAGUACUGAGGCUCCGAAUGAUCCCCCUCCGGUGCCUUCUCUUUCUGGGGCUCUACCGACUGCUGAGACUUCUCCUAAGCAACCUUUGUGAAAGCUCCCUCUUGUUUGUUUAUUUUGACUCAUGUAUAUGUACAUAUUUGUAACUUAUCGGGGAUAUCAAUAAAUAAGCUUUCCUUCAUUUCAACGUAUUGUGUUAAAUACACCAAAGCCUUCUUUGCUAAGUUCUUUGAAUUUUCUUUUAUUGAAGCUUGUAUGUUGAAGCUUUGUGAGUGGAGCAUGUAGGUUGAGGUAGUGUUCCCUUAAUUUCUUGAGUGAGGAAAACUUCUCGGUUGGAGACUUGGAAAAUCCAAGUCACUGUGUGGGAUCGGCUAUAUGAAUCUUAGAACACCAUUGUGCUCGAUCCUGUGUCAUGUCCUUCAUUAGAUCCAAGUACUCUAAGUCUUUUCUUAGAGUCUCUUCCAAAGUUUUCCUAGGUCUUCCUCUACCCCUUCGGCCCUAAACCUCUGUCCCAUAGUCGCAUCUUCUAAUCGGAGCGUCAGUAAAGGUGGCCUAAGAAUCAGGCCAAAAAAUCUGGAAGUGAUCACCUAGUUGAGGAAGACUAGGUCUUUUCCUUUAUCUUCAAAACCAAAAUCUAUUUGAUAAAAUACAAGUGGUCAACCAUCAAAAUAAGAAGGCUAGUUCCUGAAUAAAACGAUAACUAUGGUUUUAAAAUAAACACAAAGUUUCAACACUUAUGUACACUGUGUUCUUCUCUCUUGCAAGCAAUCACAUCCACGGGAUCAUUCCAGAAUCAGUAUGCAAGGCGACAUCUCUUCAUGUUCUUGAUAUGUCCAAUAAUUCCUUUAGUGGCAUGAUUCCCCAGUGCUUAACUGCAAGGAACAGGUCUCUUGCAGUAAUUAAUUUAAGGAGAAACAAACUUUCUCGCACUCUUCCUGAUAAUUUUCCUCAGCACUGUAGUCUACGAAGUUUAGACCUCCAUGGCAAUGUGAUUGGUGGUCAGUUCCCAAAAUCUCUAGCCAAUUGCACAAUGUUAGAGGUGUUAAACCUGGGAAACAAUCAGAUAACAAAUGUCUUUCCGUGCUUAUUGAUGAACAUAUCCAGCUUGCGUGUACUUGUCUUGCGUUCCAACAAAUUUCAUGAUCGCAUUGAAUGCCUCAGCCUCAAGACCAAUGGUCAUUGGCCAAAGCUUCCAGUUAUUGACAUAGCUCACAACAAUUUUAGUGGUGAACUACCAGGAAGAUGCUGGAGAACCUGGCUAGCAAUGAUGGCUGACGAAGAUGAUGCCGAGUUUAAAAUUGCCUACGACAUCUUGAGUCCUUGGACCUUUCGGACAACAGAUUGAGCGGAACAAUUCCAGCAGAGUUUUCCAAACUUAAUUUCCUCUCGUUCCUGGAUCUCUCAAACAAUCAACUAGUUGGGAAGAUUCCAACCGGCACUCAGAUUCAGUCUUUUUCAGCAGAUUCUUUCGCAGGCAAUAAAGGAUUAUACCUGCCACUGUUGAAUUUUUGAUGUGUAUUUCAUAUCAAAACAAUUACAAGAUGAAACAUUAUAUAGGAAAAGAAAGAGAACAUAAGCCUAACUUGCCUAACUUGCCUAACUUGCCUAAUUUCCUAACUUGCCUAACUUGCCUAAUUUACACAAAGAAGGUUGACUAGCCUAACUUCACUAGUCAUCCAACAUGUUUAUUUCAUGCAUGCAUUUUAACAAAAGAUAUGACUUGCAUGCAUUCCAACACUCCCCCUCAAGCUGGAUCGAGGGGAUUCCUUGAGCCAAGCUUGGACAGAAUGCGCAUGAACUGAACCGUAGGAAGAGGUUUAGUAAAAAUAACGCUUUGCUUCUUGCUGCGCCAUGUUACCAAAUUCCCACUUGAAAUGGCUUCGUGCCGCAAACAAACAGUAAUGGCUUCGUGCCGCAAACAAACAAACUUGAAAUGGCUUCGUGCCGUAAACAAACAGUAAUGGCUUCGUGCCGCAAACUUGAACAACGUUAGGUAGAGCUAAAGCAUCCAUCGAGCUCUCAGCUUCAUAAUGUUCUCCAGCCAUCUUGGCUUAGAGUAAAUGUUCUCCAACCAUCUUGGCUUAGAGUAAAUGUUCUCCAGCCAUCUUAGCUUAGAGUAAAAGUUCUCCAACCAUCUUGGCUUAGAGUAAAAGUUCUCCAGCCAUCUUGGCUUAGAGUAAAAGAAACUUAGCGGAAACGAUCAACAGAGCAUCCAUCGAGAACUCAGCUUCAUAAUGUUCUCCAGCCAUCUUGGCUUAGAGUAAAAGAAACUUAGCGGAAACGAUCAAUAGAGCCAGGAAUUUCGAGUUCCUGCUCUGAUACCAUGUUGAAUUUUUGAUGUGUAUUUCAUAUCAAAACAAUUACAAGAUGAAACAUUAUAUAGGAAAAGAAAGAGAACAUAAGCCUAACUUGCCUAACUUGCCUAACUUGCCUAAUUUCCUAACUUGCCUAACUUGCCUAAUUUACACAAAGAAGGUUGACUAGCCUAACUUCACUAGUCAUCCAACAUGUUUAUUUCAUGCAUGCAUUUUAACAAAAGAUAUGACUUGCAUGCAUUCCAACCGCCACCAUUAGAUGACGGAUCAGCAAGGUUGUCACCAAAAUUAGAAGGCAAACAAAUUCUGCGCAAGGAAUUGAUUGGGAUCUGAUAUGUGUUGAAAUUGGAUUUAUUGUUGGCUUUGGAAUAGCUAGUGGAUCAAUUUUGUUUUGCAAGAGAUGGAGUAAAUGGUAUUACAAAACUAUGUAUCACAUUCACGUUAAGAUAUUCCCUCAGAUGGAGGAAAGAUUUGGCCCUCAUCGAAGACAUGCUCACAUACACCAAAGGUGGACGCGUUGAAACGAUUUUGAAGAACAAUACAAGUGCUUGCAGUCACGUUUUCUCUUGAACUGUUUUGUAUUCUGAGUUGUAAAGCUCCAACAGAUGGGAUUGAACCCCGUCGAAAGAAACGGUUCGUGGCACAAGCUUUGUAAGCCUCCUCUGCUAGAGUCUACUUGUCGGUUAGUUCCUUACUUGGCUAGUUGUUGACAGUAUAUUUCGUCUGUGUUUAUUAAGUGUUUGUGCUAUUUUACCAAAGAAAUAUCUCAAAAACUUAGCUCUCAUACUUUCAAACAUAUUAUAUAAUAAUGAGCAAUAAUUUCAACCCUUUUACUAUUAUUUAAUAAUUAUGGUGUUUUUUUUUUCUUCAUAUGUUUAAUCUUUACUGCAGCCUCCUUCCUUGUUACUGAGAUCAAUAUAUCUUAAUCGAGAUUUAUAUCUUAUGUACAAAUUAAUUCAAAAUCAGAACAGUCAUAGGUUUGAAAUUUUCAAUGAGAAUGACAGAAUGAAAACAUCACAAAUAAAUUUCAUGGAUAAGGUUUGACUAGCAAAACAAAAUAAUAAUAAUAGAAAAUAAAAGUUUGAUAGCAUUUCUUACAUAAGAGAUGUUGGUACUUUUUUUUUUUUUUUUGAACAAAUGCAUUUUUAAUUUUAAAUAAACUAAUUAUUUGUUAGUAAGAAAUUAAGAUGGAGUCUUUUAGCCUUCUUCUUAUGUAGCUAUUGUAACUCUUUUUUUGUUAAUUUGUUAUUACCCUAUUCACCACACUAUGUUUGGAUAAGAGAAAUCAACUUGAAAUUUCAACAAAACUCAUAAUUUAGAAAUUAAUACGAACCAAUUAUAUUGUUUGGAUUCGUAAACAUAGAAAUUUAGAAUUUCCGUGUAGAAUAAAAACUUGGAAUUUGAGACCUCUAAUUUCCAAGUUUAAAUUCCUUAUAAAUGUGUCAUUCCAAAUUUCUACAAGUGAAAGGUUAAAUAAAAGUUUAUGUCUUUGUUCUAUUAGGUUAACCAAACAAAAAAAUUGACAAUUCAAGAAAAUAAAAUUUCGUCAUUUUUAUUUCCGUUUAAAAUUCUUUAGUAAUUUUAAAUUUUUUCAUCCAAACCGUCCCUAAAGGUGAUAAUAACCCUAUAAUUAUUAGCAUUUUCUCCAUCAUCAUUUUAUUCAUUAUUAACUACCCAAUCUUUUCUGUAAGUAUUAUUCUCUCCAUUUGCUUCAUCUUUUCUAUUUUUACUUAUUGGCUAAAGAAGGGUGUUCGUGUGGUGGAUCUUUGGACUUUUUACAUUUGUUCUAAGACAUGUUUACAUGAUUUUCAAGCUUUCUGUUAAUUAACAAUCGGUGUUUGUGGCAAACGAAACAUCUGUUCCUCUUGAGGGUAAUGACAAGAUUAAAUUCUUUAACUCCGAUAUCGAGUCCCCUGUACUUUACAUCUCUGCAUUUUCAAAUCAAUUGUUAUUAGUGGGAAAGAUAGCUAGAAUGUUAAACUGUUUUGCAUUUAUCCCAUUUGUUAUUAGUAGAACCCAUGUAUCUGAAUGUGGGUAUCACUCAGUUUCUGUAAGCUUUAGCCCCGUUGUAGGGCCAAAUUUUACCCUCUCUUCUCCACUCAAGAUUCAGUCAACAUUGAAUAAAAUAGCCUACAUUUAAAACCCCACAAGGGAUAUGGGGAAAGACUUUGAAGUCAACAAGUCAAGCAAACCACAACCAACUAACCAGUCACUUGCCCUUUCAACACUUUGAUUUUUCUCUUGCCCGUUCAACAUUUUGAUGCCUUUUUUAUUUCAACCCAUGAAUAUAUGCCAACAACUAAGACCAAAUUGGUGUUUGGUUCACACACCAUUACACAUUCUUCAGAUGCAUGCGUAAUCAUUCCCACCAAAAAACAAAUUAAAUUUACAAAGAAGAAUAACUAGGGACCUGCCUAAUCUGUUCCUUCCUUACAUUUGGUGUCACAUAUCAGCAACAACUUCCGAUGAAAACUCCUCUGCUUUCAUGGCUUUUCUUACUCCGCAUUUGCUAUGUUUCACUCACCUUCCAUACGCUUGUGGUCUCUACCCAAUGUCCCGGCGAUCAGCAAUCUUUGUUGCUAAAAUUGAAGAACACCCUCGCAUUUAACCAUACAGCGUCUAAAAAACUUGUGAAGUGGAAGAAUGGAUCGGAUUACUGCUCUUGGGAAGGAGUGUCCUGCAAAAAGGGUUGUGUUUCGAAUCUGGACUUGAGCAGCGAGGCGAUUACUGGUGGACUUGAUAAUUCCAGUUCUCUUUUCGGUCUGAAGUCAAUCGAGAACCUGAAUUUGGCUUACAACAACUUCAAAUACACUCAGAUUCCUACCGAGUUCAAGCAGCUAACGGGUUUGACCAAUCUGAACUUGUCGAAUGCUGGCUUUGCGGGGCAGGUUCCGAUUGAGAUUUCACACCUUACGAGGUUGGUAACUCUUGAUUUGUCUACCUUAUAUUUCCCCGGAUUUCCUUCACUGAAUCUUGAGAAGCCGAAUUUGAAUGUGCUCAUUCGGAACUUUUCUGAGCUUCUUGAACUUUAUCUUGAUGGAGUGAAUAUAUCAGCACAGGGGAAUGAGUGGUGCCAAGCUAUAUCAUCUUCACUGCCAAAAUUGAGGGCGUUGAGCUUGUCCAAUUGUAAUCUUUCAGGCCCUAUUGAUAGUUCAUUACUGAAGCUUCACUCACUCUCGGUUAUUCGUUUAGAUUACAAUGAUUUCUUUAUUCAAGUUCCAGAGUUCUUCUCAAAGUUCCCAAAUUUGACUUCCUUGCACCUACGUGGUUCUUGCUUAUAUACAUGUUCUAGCUUAUAUGACAGAGGUUCUUGCUUAUAUGGUACAUGUGCUGGCUUAUAUGGUACAUUCCCAGAGAAGAUCUUCCAGGUACCUACACUACAGACUAUUGAUUUGUCAGGCAAUCAACAGCUUCAGGGUUCCUUACCAGAAUUUCCAAAGAAUGCAUCUCUUCGGUCCUUGGUUUUAAGCGGAGCUAACUUUUCAGGGUUACUACCAAACUCUAUUGGCAACCUCAAAAUGUUGUCCGAGAUAGAUAUUUCGUGGUGCAGUUUCACUGGAUCAAUCCCAAGGUCAAUAGAAGACCUUCAUCAAUUGGUUUAUUUUGACAUGUCAGUCAACAAGUUCAAUGGUUCAGUUCCAUCCUUCAGUUUGGCCAAGAAUCUGAUCAUGAUAAAUCUUUUUCACAAUCAACUAACGGGUCAGAUUAAUUCCACUCACUGGCAAAACCUUACUAAUCUGAUGUAUCUCGACUUGAGAUCCAAUCAAUUAGAUGGGACUGUUCCACUAUCUCUUUUUUCUCUUCCCUUGCUGCAAAAGCUACAGAUUUCCAAGAAUCACUUCUCUGGUCAGUUGCCUGAAUUUGCUAAUAACUCUGUACUGGACACCCUUGAUUUAAAUAGCAACAAUUUGGAAGGCCCAAUUCCCAUGUCCAUUUCUAAUCUCCGAGGGCUAAAGAUUAUUUCACUUUCUUCAAACAACUUCAGUGGGUCGUUUCCUCUCAGUGCUCUUCGACAGAUAAGAAAUCUUUCGAGUCUUGAUCUGUCAUACAACAGCUUGUUGAUUACUUCUGCUGAUAUUAAUUCCUCUUAUUCUUCCUUUCCUCAACUUACCACAUUGAAAUUGUCUUCUACAAAGUUGAGAGAAUUUCCGCAUUUCUUGAGAAAUCAAUCAAAUUUAGGCACUUUGGACCUAUCACAAAACCAGAUUCAUGGUGAGAUACCCAACUGGAUUUGGAGGCUCAUUAAUCUUUCUGAACUAAAUCUUUCUUGCAACUCCUUAGUAACACUAGAAGGUCCUUUACUUGGAUAUCCUCCUUCUCUGUCUAUGCUUGACCUUCAUUCCAACCAGCUUAAGGGACAAAUUCCAAUGCUUCCACAAUUGGCCACUUAUCUAGAUUACUCAAGAAAUAAUUUCAGCUCAAGCAUUCCGGCUGACAUUGGUGAUUUCCUUAUGUACACUGUGUUCUUCUCUCUUGCAAGCAACAAGUUAAAUGGAAGCAUUCCAGAAUCAAUGUGCAAGGCACCAUAUCUUCAACUUCUUGAUCUGUCCAGUAAUUCCUUAAGUGGCAUGAUUCCCCAGUGCUUAAUUGCAGGAAGCAGUUAUAUUGGAGUACUUAAUUUAAGGACCAACAACCUUACUGGUGCUAUUCCUGAUAAAUUUCCUCCAUCCUGUAGUUUGCAAACGGUAGACCUGAAUGGAAAUCAGAUAGGAGGCCAAUUUCCAGAAUCUCUAGGCAACUGCAACCAGCUAGAGGUGUUGAACCUUGGAAACAAUCAGAUCACUGGUACUUUUCCACGCUCUUUAAACAAAAUGCCCCUAUUACGUGUCCUUGUUUUUCGAUCAAACAAAUUUUAUGGGCGCAUUAGAUGUCCUAAGACCUAUGGCAGCUGGCCAAAGCUUCAAAUUAUUGACCUAGCACACAACAAUUUCAGUGGUCAUAUACUCGGAAGAUGCUUGAAAACCUGGCAGGCGAUGAUUGCCGACGAAGGUGCUGGCCUGUCACAACUCGACCACAUCAAAUUUCAGGUCCUAUCAUCACUCUCUCAGAUAUAUUACGACGAUAAAGUAUUUGUUACCACCAAAGGUCUAGAGAUGGAGCUGGUGAAGAUUUUGACUAUCUUCACCUCAAUUGACUUA